CUAACUUCAAAGUUCAAACAACUCUAUUGUUCUUGUUCUCUUUCUCUACCCCACCAAAUAAGUACAAAAGUAAAAAAAAAACUACCCAUCUCUACUUUUUUCUCAUUCAGUACUUUCGUCAAACACUUUGAUCACUUCGAUCACUUCGAUCAAAUCUGCAAUUAAACCGAUACACCCCACUUUCCAUUAAACGAAACAAGAUCAAAUUGCAAAUUUUACUCUCUUUGAGGAAUUUCUUUAAACACUUUAAGAAUGGCUUGUCAAGCAAUUCAUGAGAUACACUCAUGGACAUUUUCUGCACUUGUUGGUGCAUUUCUUGAUUUGUUUAUAGCUUAUUUUCUUCUCUGUGCAUCAACUUUUACUUUCUUUGCAUCAAAAUUCUUAGCAAUUUUCGGAUUAUAUCUUCCUUGUCCAUGUAAUGGACUCUUUAGUGAUCCCAGAAGUAAUAGACGUAAUUGUAUUGAAAGGUUUCUUGUUGAUACUCCAAUUGAAAAUAUUUCAUCUGUUCAAAUGUCUGUUAAGGGUAAGUUUCCUUUUGAUCCAAUUUUCACAAAAGAUCAUUAUCAAGGUAGUCAAUUGAAGGUUAAGUUGGUGAAAGAUAAAGAUCAUUCUUCUUAUGGAUUUCUUGAUAUGGAAGGUGAAGCUUCUUGUAGCUCUUACUCUGAUCCCCAAAAUGAUAAAUUGCUUCGUUUGGGAUCAAUCAAUUUGUCGCCAGUGCAUAAAGGGGUUGAUGAUUAUAAGGGGAAGAAAGUCUUAAAUCAAAGACCGAGAGCUGGUACUCUUCGUCGACGUCGUAGAACUUUUCCUCAUGGUUAUAGAAUGAUUGGGCGAGAAUCCUCUCUACCCCCUUUAGGUAGUGACCCAAUACAGUCAGAAACUACAGAAAAUGAUGAAAGUUCAGUGCGUCAAGGUGCGUAUUAUAUUGUUGCAUUGUUACAUUUUUAGAAAUGUCUUUGUGGUUUGUGGUAUUUAUGAAUUGCGAGUUAUUUUUGGUGUAACUUACUGGAUAUAGUGCAAUUUUGUUAUGAUAUUUCAGAUGAUGACCAAGUUAAUGCUGGUAUCCUUUCUGAUGAGGGUCCCCAACACAGCUUUCAGUGGAAUGACUUGAUGGGUGGAAGUAAGAAUUUCGGAAGGGAUGAGUCCUCAGCUUCAGAUGUAAUAAGCCAUAUUCAACAGGAACUGGUAUAUGACCGGAGCGAAGUAAAUGCAGUUCGAAUACUGGAACAGGCACUUGAAGAAGAGCAUGCUGCUCGUGCUGCUCUAUACCAGGAUUUGGAGAAGGAGAGAAGUGCUGCUGCAACGGCUGCUGAUGAAGCUAUGGCGAUGAUAUUGCGUUUGCAGAAGGAAAAGGGCAUCUACAGAAAUGGAAGCUAAGCAGUAUCAGAGGAUGAUUGAGGAGAAAUCUGCUUAUGAUCAAGAAGAGAUGAACAUUCUCAAAGAGAUACUUUUGAGGAGGGAGAGGGAGAAGCAUUUUUUGGAGAAGGAACUUGAAGCUUAUAGGCGAAUCAUGACUCCUGGAAAUGAAGAGUUGGUUGGGAUUUCGACACAAAGGCCUCGUAUGUCAUUUGAUCCUAGUGAAGACCCUGCAUUGAUGCUUCAGCAGAUAAGUGAAUAUAUCGACAAAAAGGAGAUGGCAAAAAUGAUGAAUAACUCUUCAGCAGAUUAUGAUGCCUUGUCUGUUGAGAAGCAGGGUCGAGUUCUUACCUUUGAGGAAGAGUCGCCAUCACCUUAUUGGAAUGAAACUGACGAUUUAUUGGAGCAAGGGGACGCUAGGAUGAGUUUAAGCUAUGAAACAGAUCAGGGGCAUGGACCUCAAUGCAUAGAUGAAUAUAAACAUUCACAGAAGGGAUUACUGUCUGAGCCUGUGGAAGAGUGUUCAUCCGAUUCUCAACAUAAGCUGGAUUGGACUAGCGAACAGAAUUCACUUGAGAAAACUAUAGUUGUUGACGAAGAGAAGGAGAUAAAUGAUACUGUUGCCUCUGCAGUAUGCCAAGAAAUGGCUGAAAAGAAAGAUCAACAUCGUGUGCAUCUGGAGAAACAUGCCAAUAAGGCGGAUCAAGAUGGGAUAGAUCUCCUUAAUUUUGUGCAUGAAGCUGAGCCAACUGUUCUGGAUGUUCAUGUAGUUGAUCAUGACUCAGAGUUGUAUAAUCAGGGAAGUGAGAAGGCCACUGUGUCACUGCCUGUGGAUACUGUUACAGGCAGGUGUAGAAAGUUUCAAUCUGAAUCCUCUGCUUUAAGGAGUAGUGAUACUUUAAAUGUGCUCCCAAGGGGUGAAACUCAGUCAAAUAUUCGCAGAAGCGUUUCAGACAUGCAAAGUGUGGUGGAUAAAUCGCAAGCCAAAACCUUACUUUCUGAUAUGAGAAGGAACUCAAUCUCUUCAGUUGAUUACGAAAGGAUGAAACUUGAAAGUGAAGUUGGAUUUCUUAGAGAAAGGCUAAAGAUUGUGCAAGAGGGAAGAGAGAAGCUGAGUUUUUCUGUGGAGCACAGGGAAAGGGAAAAGAUGCAUCUGCAACUUUUGGAGGAUAUAGCCAGACAGCUUAGGGACAUUCGUCAAAUAACAGAACCGGGAAGGAGUGUUCGCCAGGCUUCUUUACCCCCUUCAUCUUCUAAGGUGCAUACUAAACAUUUUUUUAUUGCCAAUAUUAAAUGCGAAAGUGAUAUUUCAUGCAUGGAAGUCUGAUUUAUAUAAAUAUGGUGGUAAAAUGGCAAAGGGUUGUCCACUUGUUGUCUAGAUUACACGUGUUAACAUGACCGACCUUCAUUUAUUUGAUGCCAUUAAAACAAAAUCUUUCUCAGUAGUCAAUAGUGCCAUUUACUUAGGCAGAAUAGAAUGAGUUGUGGUUAUUUAUUCUCCAAUGAAUGAUAAUUAAUAUGAUUAAUUCAUGAAGGCUGUGUUUGGUUCCCAGAAUUCAGAUUCUGGGAAAAUAGAGGGUAUUAAUGGAAUGAAGAUUUUUAUGUAACAGAUUCUACACACGAAUGAGGGAGAUACCCGAACGGAGAAAGAUUGAAUUCUGACAAAAAUAAAUGGAAACUGGUUUCCUUUUAUGAAUUAAGGAAACCGUAUUCCUUAAAAUCUACACAUGCACGGAAUCCAUUUUCCGAUCUCAUUCCUAAUAUCUAAUGAUUUUGUCCCUAAAAUCUAGUGAUUUUCCUGGAAUUUGGGUUCCAGUGAACCAAUCGUACCCAAAGUAUCAAUUAUAUCUGUCAGUCAAGUAUCAUUUCAUUAAGUAUUAAUAAAACCCUAACUUAUAGAAAGAAAAUGACAAUAAAUAUGAUUUUAUAGUACUGGUUUUAUGGAUCGCUGAGAUCACCAAAUCCAAUGCUGUUCUAUCCUAAUUUUGAAAUUUUGCUGUUGUACGGUCUCCAUAUCAUAUUAGAGUUGGGUAUCUAUCUGUUCUUCUUAGAAAUCCCUUGGCAUUGGGUACAGUUGUGUUUUACAUUAAAUAGCAUCUCUUCUAACACUUAUUCACGUCUGCAUAUGAAACCAUUACAUUACAGUGGCAGACUGUAAGAUAGGGUUAGGUAACAUCACCCUCUGAUCCUUUCCAAAACUUUCCCUGCACCCUGUAUUAUUCACACAACCUCUGCAUAUAAGAACCAAGAGAUUAAACUUCUGAUGCAUUGUUUCCAAAUAACAUUUAUUGGGAGUUCUUAAUUUUUCUGGAUCAUACUCCCAAGCUCUGCACGAGUUUCCCAGAGAUUUGAAGGAAUGUCGAAGUUCUUGUCAAUAUCAACCCAAGCAGGGGGCUUUAUCCAGUUGCUUAGGUUCCAAAAACAUAUUGCGUCAUCUUAUCGACUGGUUUGCCUUACCAAAAUGGGUGGUUUAGUCCUGAUUUCAAAUAGGACAAUAGGAGUCCUUUGGAGUAGCCGUGUAGGGGAGUUUUAGGAAUCAAGUGGUGCAAGGGUUACAGAAGUAAUGUUAACAUGUUUCUUUAUGGUCAGUAAAUGUCUCCCACAAUGAUUUCUUUACAAGUAUAGGGGGCAACCACAUACAUACUUGGAAGUCCUUAAUUAGCACUGGAGAAAAUAUAUAUAAAUUAUAAAUCGCAAGGUGGGACCCACCAUAUUACUUUGAGCUGUAGUACCUAGUGUCCUUGAAAGAACAUCUGUUUUAGUUAGGAAUACUGUAACCACAAGUAAGUCAGACCAUAAAAAAUGAAGUCGUUCAAUCAUAUCCACAAGUACUUGUAAAUGUCCAACCAUAAAACAACCUAAGCUUAAGAGUAUGCAGACAGAACCUGAAAUACAUCAAAUUUGACUCUGCCUUCAACUGCAAUUUCUUUAGUCGUUUGCUUCCCAAACUUUCUACAAGGAGCAAAUACAUGUAUCAAUAUUAACCCCCAAUAGUUAUUAGUGAUGAAGUAUGAUAGAAGAUACAUUCAGUGAUUUCACAAAAUCAACAAAUUUACAGAUAGAUGAAAGAUACAUUAAGUGAAAAUUAAACAAUGACAAACUAUGUAAAAAAAAAACUUUAUUUGUUGUUUCGCAUGGUUAUAUCACAAUAAAGCAAAACAACUUCGACCAAGAACCGCAAAGUAAGCUUUGAUUCUCUUCUACAAACAUCCACCAAAUGCAUGUUGAUUAACAGGACUAUAAACAGAAUUCUGAUGAACCGGCUUUUUAACUCAAGCAGGUACACCAUAACUAUAAAAUGGAAAUUACUAACCUUGAUAAAAAGUGUGCAUCCUUAACACGGACUCUGCUGUUUCUGAUGCGUCCAAAAAUGGGAAACUCUGAUAUUUUUAAGACCUCCGCUCUCUAAAAUUCACCAAAAGAAACCUUUUAACUUUAAUAUAGUCACAAGAAAAAGGUAUAUGACACUGGGACCCAAAAACUUUAAUAAGAAUGAAGUACAAUGUUCUCAAGGAAACCAAGAAAGAAGCAGAAGAUCGAAGGAUUAAAAGUGUACCUCAACAAGAUAAGGUAAGUCAAAAUUUGAGAUAUUAUAUCCAAGUAUGAUAUCAGGAUCAACUUUGUGAACAAACUCCUGUAUUACCUUUGCAUAUAAGUAAUAAUAUGAAAAAUAAUACUGAGAAGUAAAAACAAGAUGAUUGAUUCUCUUGGAGCUUUAAGUUAGCAUUUGUGAUUGAACACUUCCAAAGUAAUGAAAGAUAAUUAAAAGGUAAAGUUCAACAAUAAGAGAUAGUCUGAGGUAUCUGACUAGACUGCAAUUAGUCUUUUACUGUAAUUCCAAAAAAUACCCUCAAACUAGAUAACAUACUUUUUAGUAUUUUACAAUUUACACACUAUCUGCAUCUCCUGUGGGAAAAAAAACGAAAUCGUAAUGUCAAGGUAAAUGGUUUCCUUUACGACCUAUAUAUAAGGGAAAUAAUUAUUGUAGAAAAGAGGUUCCUAGCGAUAACUGAUAAGAGGAGAGAUGCAAGCUAGCUGACACUAGGAAUAGCCAAAUGUAGAUCCUCAACUCCACCAAUGAUCACUUGGUACCCCACAAAAAAACAUUAACAAAAUAAAACGAUCUCAGUUAACAAAUGUGACAUACCCUCGAAGAAAGCAAAACUUCUCUUUCUGUGUCAAAUGACAUAACAUCUACACCUUCAAUGGGAGAGCAUGAUUUCAAAGUCAUGAUAUUCCGAAUAAAAGGUUGGUCCUCUCCUUGUAGGAUGACAAGAUUGGCCACCUAGACAGGUAAAAAAAGAAAGUUUUAGCUAAACAUAUAAAAGCCGUAAGAACUAAAAUAUAAAAGUAUCAGACAUAAGUAAAUCUCAUAGUCUUAUAUCUGUAGGCUGGAAAUAAGACUUCAACCUGAAUAACAGGAUCAUGGGAAGGUUUUGGAAGGAGAUCCAUGCGACCAGCACACUCUAUAUCAAAACUCAAUAUGCGGAAUGGAGCCAUUUUUGAAAAUUCCCCUUCUGGAACAUGGCUGAUUAAUUCAGUAUACCUGCAAACAGUCUUAAGGAAAAGAGUUUCCUCAGAAGAAUAAGAGGUUUUUCAAGACACCUUAUCUAAUUAAAAUUGAGCACCCUCUAAUGCAUAAGGAUACAGGCAAUCGAACUCCAGUUGGCAAUAAGACAUUGGUUUUGUUGCCUUCUUAUAUUUCUCUACAGGUACUUCAAUCCAGUUGCCACCAACAAUAUUGGAGUCAAUCAUGAAGCGAAGAGCAAAUUCAACAUUGCCUUCGCAUGUCAUAAAUGUCUUCACACCAAUACCAUCAAUGUGAAUGCCCUUCUGAAGGAUGCCUGUCAAGGUUAACAAAAUUUAAGAUCAAGAUAGUAUGUAGAGCAUAUCGUAAAGGACAUUAACAAAAAUAUAUGUGUAGUGACACGUGAAAAUCAUUGAGUCUAGUGACGUUUACGUCAAGAGAAGUUAACCAAAACUAAUCGGUUUACUACUUCCUAUUCCUAAUGCAAACAUCAAAAGGAAGACAAAAGAAGAAAUGGUGCUGGUUUGGGAAACCCAUUAGUAAUGUCCACUUACAAAUAUAGUAAUACAAAAGUGAAGGUUGACAGAUGUUUUAGAAAACUGAGAAAUAUUAAAGUUGGAGAAACUUGAAAUGCUUACCUGGGCAUUCGAAGACCAAUUUUGGUAAUGCAACAACAAUCUUAAGUAAAAGGUGAGACUGCUUCUCCUGCUCUUGGAAAUUCAUAAUGCUCCUGUUAUGAACAAUCUCUAUCUGUAGAACGAAUCGGGGACUCUUACAGUAAUUGUUUCCCAUCUCUUCCUGUAUCCUUGCCUAAAAAUGCAUCAUGCAUGAUGAGUACAAUGGCUAUGAAAUUUACAUAAGGAGAUUAAAAUAUCUGGUUCCCAAUCCAUGCUACUUCAUCGCAGAAGCAGAGAUCCCCUUAUUAUUUUUAAGCUAUGUGGACCUCUAACUUGGCCAAUAACAAUGACAGUUUUUAAAAGGAAAUAACAUAAAGGGAAGCAGAAAUAUAAGAAAUAAGGCAAACCAAUUAAAAGAUUACCUCUAGACUCUUAUGCAAACGAGGGACAUCGUCAGGGCCCAUUCCCAGAGGAUAACUAAUGUAGAAAUAUGGCUCGAAACCAUGAACAUUGCAACAAACGCUAUACCCUGUAGACAUCAAAAAGUAUUCAUAGGCAUCACCUCAAAAAUGCGCAAAACAACCAUAACAUCAAUAUCAAUUUACUGGGUUUAGUUGAUCUGAUAGUUUUUAAGUUUAGUUAAAAAGACUAAACUUUUACUUCUAAGACAGAUGUCUCUGCAAAUUACAUAAUUGCAUAGAAAUAAAAACUGUUCCUUUUCGUUAAAUACAAAUACCCAAUCUUCUUCCCGAUAAACAAGAAAAGUACUCAAUAAGUUCAAAUGUUAAUUUAUUUAUAAAAUUGGUGAUACUUUCCACAUAAUUGAAAGUAUUAGGUUUUGUAAUUCAGCCAAUUAAAAUACAAUUAACAAAAAUCGAGAAAGACAAGCAUAUCAAAGUAUCAAACCUUCUUUAGUAACACCAAAGAUUCUAACAACAGGAGCAAAAUCAUUACUACAAUUCGGCAACAACUCUUUAUUUUUCUUGCAAAUCACAUGAUCAAUCUGAAGAUGUUGAAAAACUGCAAAAGAAUUACAACAACAUAAAUCUCAAAAACAUAAAACCCUAAUGAAAUUAGGGUUUAAUAAAGAAAAAUAAAAAUGAAAACUUACUAAUGCUUUUGUUGUUGGAUUCUUGUGAAAUAUAAGAUGAAGAGACAGAAGGUCUUCUCCAUAUACUAAGACGAGAAGAAAUAACUUGUUUACACUCUUGUUGAUCACAAAGAACUAUAGCUUUUUCCCAAAAAGCCUCUUCAUCGAUAACCUUCUCUUCUUCUUCUUCUUCUUCUUCUUCCCAAAACACAUCUUCAUCAAUAUACUCAUCUUCUUCAUUAAUCUUCCAUUGUGAUUGUUGUUGUUGAAAUCGUUUUGAUGGUGAUUGAGUUGGAAUUGAAGAUGGUGAAUUUCGUUUCUUGUUGUUCAUAUUUUAUCUUCUUUUCUUUGGCGGGAAAGAUGGAAAACUCAAUUAACGAACAAAUCAACUUCCGUCUUUUGUGGAGAAUUACUUCUAUAGUUUUAUUGUCCUUUGAUUCGAAUUAGAAGUUGAAGAGAGAGACACGAAAGCGUUACUUAUUUAUUUUUUAUUAUUCUUCCCGCCACCGCCAAAACCACGCGGGAUUAAAUUGGUCGAGCUCGCCCGGGAUAAAUAGGUCUUUUGGCCCAAGUAAGGACCAACUUAGGGUCUGUUUGAUACUGUGAUAAUGUGAUUCGAGUCUGGAAAAUAGAUUUUCUGAGAAAUCUCGAUUUAUCAUGUUUAAUUACAAGGUAUAUAAGCAGUAAAAACAAAAUAAUAAGUUAAAAUAGGGGGCAUAUUGGAGCUCAAUGUUAACGAACUCUCAUUAAAACACAUAUUUACAUGAUGUUUUAUUGAUAUUCAUGAUCGAUAUAGCACUUUAGUUAUUUAAUAAAGAUUUUAUUUUCUGAAUAUUUGCAUAUGAUAGAUCUAUUUCCAGGUAAAUUAAUUUUCUGCCCAAAUAAUCAACCUCCCCUGUCGUAAAAGACUAGGUAAACUAUCCUAACAAUCACUUGAUGUUCGAUAUUAACUUUGUAUCAACUAAAGUUUUAUCAAUAACACAAAAUUACAUUAGGCACUUGUUAAUUCUAAUUUCAGGUGUUAUUUAAAUUAGAAAGGUUCAAAAUCAGACCAGUGAAAAAAAAAGAUUUUAAGUAAUCCUCACAUGAUACUCUUGUAUACAUAUAUAUUUGGUUUCAAACUUUCAAUUAUAUAAAGGAAACUGUUGAGUGGACUUUACAAGAAUAAUUAAGCUCAAUCCUUGGUGAAGAGUAGGAUUAGCAUUCCUUCCUACAGAAAUACAGAUCCAAAUUCUUUGGUCAUGCAUUUAUGACGAAGGCAAUCAAGCUAUGGAAGGUGGAUCCAUGGAUGGAUUUGGAGGCAUUUGAAGUUCUUCAUUGCUUGCUUCUAACAUUUCAACUACCUUAGUUAUUGAAGGUCGACUGGCUGGGUGAGUUUGUAUGCACCAAAGAGCCACCAUGAUCAUCUUUUUGGCCGUUGGGUCCUUCAAAAUUUCUCCAGCACCCUCUAACUUCAUGAUUUCGGGUCCUUCCACCUUAGAGUCUUGUUUAAGCUGAUUAUAUAUCCAGUGCGGAAAAUAUAUACCACUGAUAUUCUCCACUGUUACAUCAAGAUUCUUUCUACCCCCUAUCAUUUCCAAUACCAUCAUUCCAUAGCUAUAGACGUCCGACUUGUGAGACACACCCCCAAGGUUUCUACAAGAGAUUUCGGGUGCAAUAUAACCCAUGGUUCCUCGAGCUCCAACCAUUGACACUAUGGUUUCUCUUGUUGGAUAAAGUUUCGCCAAACCGAAGUCAGAGAUCUUUGGGAAAAAGUCUUGGUCUAGAAGAAUAUUGUGAGGUUUAAUAUCGAAAUGCAAAAUACGAUUGUUACAACCACAAUGCAAGUAUUCCAACCCUUUAGCAAUUCCAAGUGCAAUUUGGUAAAGCUUUUCCCAACCCAAAUGACUACUUCCAGUGCUUAAUGUCUUCCCAUUGUAGAUGAACCUUUCAAGAGACCCAUUUGGCAUAAAUUCGUACACCAAUGCUCGUUUAUUUCGCUCAAUACAAAAGCCUAGAAGGGUAACCACAUUAACAUGGUUAGUCCUACCAAUGGUAGCAACUUCAUUGAUAAACUCUUCCCCAUUACCCUUAGAUUCAUUCAAUACCUUGACCGCCACUAGACGACCAUCAUUAGGAAGAGUUCCUUUGAACACACUGCCAUAUCCACCUUGGCCUAAUGUACGCUUGAAGGAUUUAGUCAUGGCAACAAUAUCUGAGUAUUUGUAUCUUUGUAGUGCAAGACACCCAUAGCUUUCUAGUAGCACUUCUACAUUUUUGGGGCCUUUUGUUUCGUUUCGCCAACGAGAGAAAAUCAAAUGGUACAAUGAGUGGAAAAUCUUCUUAUAAAGAAGGAAUAAGCUUAGAAGUAAUCCCCCAACUCCAGUUGAUACACCUACAAAGACAGGAUGUAUAUAUAUAUAGUAAGUUCAGAAAUAAAACGUUACAGAGUUGUAGUAAAGACUUAAGAGUUCAAGUAAUGUCUAAGUAUGAGUAGCCUACCAAUUAUGAUCUUCAACCAAAUAGGGAUGGCCUCUGCAUGGAUGGCCUCUGCCUCUGCAUGGAUGACACUGUCAUUAGUAACUAUCAACGUAAUCACAUAAAUUCAUGUAAUCAUUAUGAUGAGAAAAUUAGAUUAGUAACCAUUUACAUUCCCAAGAUAGUGAGCUUAAUUGUGUGUGGCCUAGGAGUGGCAAAUUGGCAAUGAGCCCAGUUUUAUACAAAAUCUAUGCCCAAUUUGGGCAGAUAUUGCAGCUAAGUUUGGUACAAAAGUACAUAGUUAGCUAAAUUGUAAGAUGAAGACAUGUAGUGGCUACAUAUGUGGUAAUUAUAAGUACUAAAUAUAAACAUAAAAACUCACCAUCUCGACAGAUCAAAGUAUCAUAUGAUGUUGUUCCGAAGUAGCAAUCGCAUUGAUAAACCUUUGCGGUCUUAUUAUAGUAGCAGUCCCCGCCUGAAUCCUCGCAUUUCUGACAAUCAAUAGGCACAGACCAAUACAGAUCAAACCCGAAUUUGGCUUCUUUAGUGUAAUUAGUGAUAGGGUUAUCAAAUGAAUAUGCUGACGGUGUCACCAGAGUCUCCUCACAUCUAGCGUACCAAUUUGGAAUAGCAUAAUAGUAAUUAUUGAAAGCGUAAGAACGUAGUGGUGGUAGAGUAGUAGUAGUGGUGGUGGAAUUAGUGUUGUUCUUGUAGUAAUAAUCUAGACAAGGGAUACGGUUAUCAACAUAUUUAUCAUCAUCAUCACCAUAUCUGCUGCUGCUGCAAUUAUAGAAAAGGGUCCACUUUCCAUAAUUAUAGAAAGAUGGUGCGGAUUCCAUUGAGAAGUUUCGUUUUGGAUGAGGACAAUCUUGUCCAUCUACAUCCACGUCAAUCAGAUUAAGAAGCUGCCGGUUAUAGUCAAUGGAUUGCACAUAGUAGAGGUGGUCGGAGAUAUUCGUGAACGCUCUUCCAUCAUUAUCUCUACAUUUGAUUUCUAAUAAUCCUUGAUACCCACAGUAAUUAAUGAUUUCGCUGGUGUUCCUUGAAUCAGAUCUCUGGUACCAAAACGGGUACUGAAUUAUGACCCUAUUAGAGCAUACGUAAACCGUAGAUUCACAACCAGCAGCAGAUGUUAUUACAAGAAGGCUGUUAAAGAUGAAAGAAAAGAUGAUGACAACAACAACAAGGAUAGAGAUGAGUUGAAACAUAAUUGAUGAUCGUCAAUCGAUCAUACACACGUACUAUUGUAUAAGUGUAUUCUAUUCUAAUUAUUACUCUCUAAAUUAGCUUCUUCUUCUUCUUCUUCUUUAUAAAAUUAAAAUAGAAGUGCACGUGUUCUAGUCAGUCAUCAGUCUUACCCAAAAAAAAAAAAAUAUAUAGAUCAAAUAAUUUCAUUCAUUCGUAAAACUGUCCGCUUCAUUCAACAAAGAAAAUAAGAGUAAUUGAACAAAUGGAACCCUCCUCUCAUCUCCCCUCAUUGACUCGAAAAAUCUUUUAGAUGCCUACUUCAAAUGCCUAAUCUCUAAAACUGAGUAGUAGUUUAUUACAACUCUAAAUAGUCUUAUUACCACCUCUGAUUAAUCUAUAAUAAUGCCAUAAAUGGCCACUGAUGACUAACCUAUUAAAUGAACGGGUGGCAGUUGGCAUAUUAAAUUCAUACACAUGUUAUUAUCAUAUAUUCAUAUUUAUUUAUUACGAGUAUUUUUUCUCAUCAAACAUCCAACCAUAUCAUAACUCAUAAGAACCCAUUUAUCAAAGCGUUACACAGUAACAAAAAGGAAAAUACUUUGAAGGAACCUACUUCCAUCCAAAAAUUGAUAAAACCUUCUUAAGUGUUUGACAUGGUAUGGAACCCUCCUCUCAUCUCUCAUCUCUCCUCAUGACUUUUUCAUUGACUCUGAAAAACUAAUUACCACUUUAAUUAAUACUUCAAAUGCCUCAUAAUUAAUCUAAUUACCACCUUAAUUUACUUACUGGGAGUACUUCAAAUGCCUAGCCCAUCUCUAACUGAGUAAUAAGGCCAUAAAUGGCCACUGAUGAGUGACUAACCUAUUAAAUGAACGGUGGCAGUUGGCAUAUCAAUCAAAUUCAUACACAUGUCAUUAUCAUAUAUUCAUAUUUAUUUAUUACGAGUAUUUGUCUAGCUGUUAAUCGGUACCUUUUCGGUAUAGUGUAUUACGGUACAUUUGCUUGUACACCACACAAUCUUCCACGUGGACUCAAGUGGAAACUUGAUACCGGUUAGUCUAAAGUCAACAAAAAUUUGCUCUUAUUGUUUCUUGAAUUUUGUCAUCCAUAUAGCAAUCUUGUCAUCCAUAUAGCAAUUUUGUCAUCCAUACAGCUGUCACCUGUAUGUUUGACUGAAAAACUAAAAGAAACAAUAAAAAUUGCAUAACCGGUUACCAAGUUGUCCUAAUCACAUUGUGUGGACGAAAAUGCUGUUUGCACCGUAAUGUACUGAGUUAAAAUGUAUUGAAUAAAUGGCUGUAUUUGCCAUCAAACAUCCAACCAUAUCAUAACUCAUAAGAACCCAUUUAUCAAAGCGUUACACCGUAACAAAAAUACUACUACUACUCGUAUAAUACAUAUUACUACCUAGUACCAUAGGUAGGUAGUAGUUAAAGAUCUUGAAUCUCGCACCUUUUCUCAUGAUUUAAUUUACUUACUCAUGAUUCAUGAAACGUUUGUCUGCCGUUUGUUCUAACUUCAAACAACUCAUAAUACUGUACUACUCGUAUAAUACAUACAGUAUUUCUUUUAGGUUGUUGCACUUGUUCGUACGUAUCUUUGAAUCCUAUUGUUGAUCACUUGCGCAACACACAGCUUGAUAACACUUUUGUGCAUUGACUCAGUUGAAAGAUAUAAUAAUGUUUUAGCAGUGCAAAUUAGCUCAUGUGGUAUCCAUUUUCUUAAAAAAAUUGGUUGUAGGCACAAGCUAAGAAGCUUGCAUGAAGUCUCUAAAAGCAGGCGAAAAAUCACUUAAGGCACAUGAACAAAAGAUUUGUAGUUCAUUGUAGAACCCCAGUAUCUCUCUAGACUCUAGCUCUCAUUCAUUCUUGGUUACUUUGAUCGUGUGUGUUCUGUGAUUGUUUUAAACCUCUGGAUCUUCAUAUACAGCUAACAAAGUCUACUGUUUGUAUUUGGCUUGAACCAGUCUUUGCAGCGGCCCAAAGAUCGACCAGAGUGCUGUUUGAAAUGCUCGAACAAGAAUUCUGAAGCAAAAAGCUCAAACAAUUAUAUUAAAUAUGUAUAGUACUAGUGGAAAAGUGCAUGAGUUCGUUCUCUCUUAAGAUAGCAGAAUAUGUCAAGUAUCUUGAUUUAAUCUUCUACAUUAAGGAAAAAUUUUAAUGCACCAAAAACACUAAAAGGGUGUCUUUUCUGAGCUUCACACAAAUUACAUAAUUUGCUUACCAAAAAAACUCUAUUCAGGCUCAUAGUUUAUUUAUGAAAUCAAUGUCGUUAUUUUUGUUAUAUAUGAUUUUGUUGCAGAGUCGGAGGCUAUUAUAUAUACAUGGCGUUCUAAAAGCACCCUAUUUACAUUGUAGUAGCAUUAAGUCCCAGAUUGCAGUGUACAUCUGUACAUCUAAUUUUCUCAACUAUGAAAUCCAACUGCAUACAACCUCAGCUCUAUCUAUAUCUCCUGAAAGUGAGCAUCAAAAGAACCCUAUUUUAUUUUGAGGUGCUGAUAUCUCUGCCAACUAAGUUGAACUGCUACCGCAAAGCUUUAAGACGUGUACCCCUUAGUCAGAGCCAUUGUUGCACUAGUAAAGCCCUGAGUUUAACUUCUCACAUUAACAAUCUCUAAGGAUUUCUGCUUGCUUCAAUCUUAAGACUGUGAAACGUCAUCGCCCGCCAUCAAGCCGCCAAACGGUUGUUUUGAUUAUUCUAAUUGUUGCCUCCCCAAAAACACCUCAUCCCUGAAUAUAUAAUGCUUCUUAUUGGUCACUGGCAGUUGUUUCUGGAGUCAGAGAGCAACUACAAGAGCAGCUGAUUUAAUUUGUUCAGAUUGUCGUGUUGACUACUUAGGGUGAGCCUUAAGGUUCAAACUGCAGCUAGUGAUAUGAUGGUGGUCAUCGUACGAGUACGUACUACUCACUCUUUUCGUUCUCUGGGGCUAGUUCUUUGAAGGUGCUAUAUUUUCUGAAAGCUCAUUUUGGAUUCAGCUUGUUAGCAAUUUAAUCAACCAAAGCAGAAAUGCUUGAACAAAAAUUCUCAAGUAAAAAGGUCGGACGAAUGAGUUUAAAUAUCAAAUCUGUAUAGAGGGAAAAAGUGCACGAGUUCUCUUGCUUAAGAAAGCUUAAAUUUUAUCUUAUUUAUGUACAAAAAUGUGGAAUGCACUAACGGUCAAAGGAUGCCUUUGAGCUACACAAAUUAUGUAUGUACUUACCAAAAAAAACUAUUUUCAGACUCAGAGUUUAUUGAUGAUAUCAAUGUUGAGAUUUUGUUAUGUGAUCAGUAUAUUUGUAUUGGCCCUGAUUUAGGUAGUUUUGCUUUCUCUGCAUUACAAGUUUACAACUGCUUAGCAUGUAGAACUCCUUGCUAUGUCAGUUUUGCAGAAUUAGAGCUACUUGCUAUGCUUAGAUUGAAGUUAGUAUCCCUCGGUCCAAAGCUAACUACUCCUCUCAACUCUAAUCCAAUUGCCAAUAUUUUCCCUCCAAAUUCCCUCUCUUCAGAAGCAAACCAAGAACAAUUUCUUUCAGUUUUACUUAAAAACCCUGUAAGAAACAUAGCUCUUCAAAUCCAUUCUAACUUACUAACAACUGGGUUUACUCAAAGUUAUUAUCUGCUCCAACAAGGGGUAUACCCACUAGGGUAAAGAGGAAAAUGUACUUUGCUCCAACAAGGGGUAUACCCACUAGGGUAAAGAGGAAAAUGUACUUUUCUUAGUUGUGCUUCAUUCGGUCUCCAUGGAGAAAGGGCAUCUGAGUUCUCAAGAAAUCAGAUGCAAGACACUGAAGUAGUGGCCAUGGACCUAAUGAAGGAACAGUCAAAUAUUCGAGUUCUAUUAGAAAAAUCUAUCAGCUACUGUCAGCCUGUUCAAUAUCUCAGGUAUAUGGAUUCAGUCCUAAUAUUUCUUUUAGGGGUUCUUUGCACUUGCUGGUAUCUUUGAAUCCCAUUGAUGAUCACUUGCGCAGGACACAGCUUGAAAACAGUUUUGUGCAUUGACUCAGUUGAAAGAUCUAUUAAAGGAUAUUUUGGCAGUACAACAUUAGCUGAUGUGUUAUCCAUUUUCUAAGAUUUAUAGGUGUAUCUAAUUGCAGGUACAAGAAGCUUGCUUUAAGGCUCUAAAAGCAGAAGAAUUGGCGAAAAGCCACUUAAGGCACAUGAACGGAGAACAUGUACAGUUCAUUGUAGAACCUGGGUAUGUCUCUAGCUCGCAUUCUUGGUUACCACUCUGUUUCCUCAACAUUCAUGGUUUUAGACUUUCAUAGCUCAUUAACAAAACUACCUUUUCUGAAUCAUAUGGCAUACUUUUACACUCAAGUCCAGACGUCCAGUAACCAUAACAACAAAGGCAUGACACAUCAACUUUCUAGAAAAAAAAAAUCUCCGUUAAUUUAUCUACUGUGUUUUUUAUAUGGAAAAUGCCAUAUCAUUGCAAUUAAAUUACUCCAAGAACUUUCAGCAAGUUAUGUCCCUGAGAAUCUCCUUUUUGCUUACAACUAGUCAACUAUUACAAUGGGAAUGUUACUAAGUGAACUAGUGAAGUUUUUGUUGUUCUAUAGCAGUCAUUAGACUAAUUGAAAGAAGGAAAGAUAAUUUUCUUGUCUUAAACCAACAAGCUCAAACGGAAGUUAUUAUCUGAUAAAUCAAGGAAGGCAAAAAAUCAAAAAGUCAUUUAAGUGUUUGUGCUAGUUUUCAGAGAUAUUCAAUAUACACAGUGUAUAAGUGUCUGUGGUACAUAUUCAAUUUCAGUAGUAGUAGAGUAACUUUUACGAUGAAGAAAAAGAAGAUAGAGACAGAGGAUCUAAGGAAGGAUUUGGAGGCAUUUGAAGUUCUUCAUUGCUUCCUUCUAACAUUUCAACUACCUUAGUCAUUGAAGGUCGAUUGGCUGGGUGAGUUUGUAUGCACCAAAGAGCCACCAUGAUCAUCUUUUUGGCCGUUGGGUCCUUCAAAAUUUCUCCAACACCCUCUAACUUCAUGAUUUCGGGUCCUUCCACCUUAGAGUCUUGUUUAAGCUGAUUAUAUAUCCAGUGCGGAAAAUAUAUACCACUGAUAUUCUCCACUGUUACAUCAAGAUUCUUUCUACCCCCUAUCAUUUCCAAUACCAUCAUUCCAUAGCUAUAGACGUCCGACUUGUGAGACACACCCCCAAGGUUUCUACAACUGAUUUCAGGUGCAAUGUAACCCAUAGUUCCUCGAGCUCCAACCAUGGACACAAUGCUUUCUUUUGUUGGGCAAAGUUUAGCUAGCCCAAAAUCGGAUAUCUUUGGGCAAAAGUCUUGGUCUAAAAGGAUAUUGUGGGGUUUAAUGUCGAAAUGCAAAAUACGAGUGUUACAACGACAAUGCAAGUAUUCCAACCCUCUUACAAUUCCAAGUGUUAUUUGGUAACGCUUAUCCCAUCCCAAAGUAGUAGUAGCAUUGGAAGUUGACAUCUUAUCGUUGUAGAUGAACCUUUCGAGAGAGCCAUUCGGCAUAAAUUCAUACACCAGUGCUCGUUUCGUUCCCUCAGUACAAUAGCCCAGUAGGCUAACCACAUUAACAUGAUUGGUCCUACCAAUGGUAGCUACUUCGUUGAUAAAAUCUUCUCCGUUACCCUUGGAUUCAUUCAAUACUUUUACUGCAACUAAACGACCAUCACGAUUAAGCUUUCCUUGAAAGACACUUCCAUAUCCUCCUUGACCUAAUGUAUUCUUAAAUGAAUUGGUCAUUUUCUUUAUCUCUGAAUAACUGUAUCUUUGUAUUGCAACUCCAUAGCUCUCUAGGAACUCUUCUACAUUUGUUGGUUUCUUAAUUUUCUUCUUCCAUCGAGAGAUAGCUGAGUAGUACAAUAUGUAGAACGUCUUCCUAUAAAUAAGGAGUAAGAUUAAAAGUAAUAAAAGUAAUCCCCCAACUCCAGUAGAUACACCUAUAAACAGAGGGAGGUUAAUAAGUCACAAAACAAAUAUAGAGCUCCAGAUUUGGUUUAAGUAAUAAGCAUAUUCAUGAUCAGCUUACCAAUUAUGACCUUCCGUCGUCCAGUAGGCAUGCCUGCAGUAAUCAUGCCUGCAGUAGUCAUGUCUGCAGUAGUAAUAUAUAGCAUCAGCAUAAUCAUAUAUGAAGAUGGGUGACCAUCAAGUCAUGGAUAAGAUGAGAGCAAACAGAACAUUGUAAAGAGAGAUGAUAUUUUAAUUGAGUAAAAUGCAGUCCAUAUGAGCCAAUAAAAUUGAUUAUAUGUCAAUGCCUACCAAUCAUAUCUGCAGAAAAUGGGAAUAAACUGUAAAAAUAUGGUGGUAUAUUGCAAAAUAUGAAACUAUGCAAUGAUAUUUAGGAGUAACAAUUAUGCAAUGAAGAUUGAAGAGUCACAAUAGUGGCUACUAAUUGAGCAAUGAAUUACCUUGCUAAUACUGAUAUAUACUGUAGAUGAUUACAAGACAUAGCAGCAGUGUAUUAUAUAUGAUAUGAUGAAAAAAUGUUGUCAUUAAAAUGAGCUAGUAAAGUUGUGUGGCUAUGUACUUAUGUGGUAAUUAAUUUCUUUCUUUGAAGUGCUAAAUACAAACUCACCAUGUCCACAGGAUAACCCAUCAUAACCCAUUCCAGCGGCACAACUGCACCUAUAACCCUCUGUGGUAUUAUCAUAGUAGCAGAGCCCGCCUGAAUCCUCGCAUUUUUGAUAAUCAAUAGGCACAGACCAUACUAGAUUAAACCCGAAUUUGGCUGAUUUAGUGUAAUUAAAGUUAUCAGAUGAAGAUGAUAACGGUGUCACCAGAGUCUCCUCACAUCUAUCGUACCAAUUUGGAAUAGAGCCAAUAUCAUAGUCAUUAUUGAAAGCGUAAGAACGUAGUGGUGGUAGAGUAGUAGUAGUAGUAGUGGUGGAAUUAGUGUUGUUCUUGUAGUAAUAAUCUAGACAAGGGAUACGGUAAUCAACAUAUAUAUCAUCAUCAUCACCAUAUCUGCUGCUGCUGCUGCAAUUAUAGAAAAGGGUCCAGUUUCCAUAAUCAUAGUUUCCAUAAUCAUAGUUGAAACGCAAAGAUGGUGCGGAUUCCAGUGAGAAGUUUCGUUUUGGAUGAGGACAAUCUUGUCCAUAUACAUCCACGUCAAUCAGAUUAAUUGACUCCCCGUCGUAGUCAAUGGAUUGCACAUAGUAGAGGUGGUCGGAGAUAUUCGUGAAUGCUCUUCCAUCAUUAUCUCUACAUUCGAUUUCUAAUAAUCCUUGAUACCCACAGCCAUCGUUCAUUUCGCUGCUAUUAGAAUCCUGGUACCAAAACGGGUAAGAAAUUUCGACCCCAUUAGGGCAUAUGCGACCCGUAUAUUCACAACCAGCAGCAGAUGUUAUUACAAGAAGGCUGUUAAAGAUGAAAGAAAAGAUGAUGACAACAACAACAAGGAUAGAGAUGAGUUGAAACAUAAUUGAUGAUCAGAUAUCGAUCGACAAUCGAUCAUACACACGUACUAUUGUAUAAGUGCAAAUUCAACGAAUUGAAGAUAAAUUACAAGGGAAGGUGCCACAACAAAUGCCAGCAAAGAAGGACUAGCUUUUAAAAACCAGACAAACCUGAACAGGAAGAGUAAUCAAGCCACCACAACAAACACCAGCGAAGAAACAUUCAGCAGGUAUACCCUGCAUUUAUAAAUCCAACUUCAUUCUAAAUGCUGAUUAAUAGGACAAUGGUGCUAAUGAUAAACUUGACAAACCAAUCACAAUCAAGACAUUAUUGUACAUUGGGUGCAGCCAAUUACAAAAAUCUCUAUCAAAAUGAGCAUACAUACCAAAGAACCUGCCAGGAAAGCUGUUGGAUUUCUCACACCAAUAGAAAACCGUUCCACUGCAUUUCAAUAAGGUACAAACUUAUCGGUAAACAAUUUCCUAAAACAUGUGAGACUCCACAAUGAGAAUAUACACAUUUUGGUGCAUUUUGAGCUGGAGACACCAUACUGUGUCAUCUUUAACAUUAUAAAUAUCGUGGUUUGUAAAACUUACCAAAACCUAUGAGAUUUCCAUACCUCUGCACAGCACUUGUGAUAUUUACUGCCUUCUUUCUGUCAAUGCCCAACUACACAUAUAAUCAGGGAUAAAAAGCUUAAGCAAAUAACAUAAUGAUAGUAAUCGUACUGUGCUUUGGUACAGAACUUUGUUACUUACUACACAUACUAAUACAAGACAAUGAUAAACUAAAAUGAGAUAAUGAAAAGAAAUUGUAGAUCACAGGAUCUUGAUAGUGCAAUGGAAGUGAAGGGUGACAAACCUUAGCACACAAGUCAUCAGAUGCCCUAGUCUGUCCAAAAAGCUUCCCAAAGUAGAAUGGGACCAUAUCACUAAUGCAAACACCCCUGAAGAUAUAAGUUUCCAAGUAAAACGUAGGAUCAGGCUGGAGCAGUAAAUUAAAGGGAAAAUCCUCUAGAAAACAAUGUAUUCAGCUACAAUCCAAUAGUCCGAACAUUUAGGCUUGAGUGGAGAAAGCCCCUCUAUCAUCAUGACUUCAAGAAGGCAUUUGAUUAUGUAAAGUCUAACAGGCUAACACUUGAGAACCAAAGAUCGAAAUGUUUACGAGGCAUACCAAUAUACCCAUAGAACUGUGGAAAUUAUGUAUGGAGCAUUCCUUGAGAAAGAUUCUGCAAAUGAAGCCCAAGUUCCAUCUAGAGACAGCAACCGAGCUAAGGAUAUGCCGACCUGCACAAUUUUAUGAUAAGUUGAUUAGGCUGUUGUUAAGCCGCAGGCCAAAUCACAGGAAGAACAAAGCUUGACUAAUGCAAUUCCUUGAAGAUAAUGAUUAAAUCGACAAAUUUAAUAGAAACUGGCGUGACAAGUGGAGGUCAACCAAUUUGAAUUGGUGAAACAGAAGUACCAGUUGAAGGACAGACCCAUAUAUUUAGAGCCUCUUCGCUAACAAACAGUCCACAUCCUGCAGCCAUGAGUAACCAAAAGUAUAUCCAUCUGCAAGUAUACUUGUUUGUGAAAUUUUCAGUAUUUAUGUCAGAGAUGAUUUCAGAUGAUAAAAAGUUUACUUGUUUUAUAUGAUUUUCAGAUGAUAGUGACAGGACAUAAAUGCAGUUGAAAUGUUUCAUAGUGUAAAAUUAGGAGCCUACCCUGGUGCAUACUGUGGCACUAUAAUCUGGUGUCCGAAAACCUUCAAAGAGAAUCCACUAGGGUGAACACUUGAAGUUGAAGCUGAUGAACCAUGGGAAAGAAUUGGAAGCCCAAGUGAUGGCCCUUGAGAAAGUGGAUAAAAUCUGGCACAGAUAAUCGUCACCGUCGCAGCAACCCCCAGAGCAAUUGCUAAUUUAGCCAAGAACGAACUCUCUGAUCUAUUAGAAUCCAUUCUUUGAGCUCCAAGCAUGUCAUCAGCACCAUUAUCAUGUCCAUUCUGAAUACCUUCUGACGUUGACAGCUCAGACUUUCCCUCAUCUUGAGGACUAAAGCUUUUAACCCUGCUCAUCCCAAAGAGCAAAACAACACAUUCAUAUGAUUAAUAUAAUAUAUAGCAAAUUAAUUUGCUAAAAAUCUCGAACAACACAUUCAACACAAAAUUGGACCAAUGUUUUGUAAAAUUGUUUGCGCAAUUGGUAGUAGUAACAGAAGGAAACUUAAAAAGUUUGAACAGUUCAACAACAUCCUUAACCGCAAUGUGUGGCCCUCUACCUGGCUAUCAUCCAUCAACAUCUAGACCAUGUUUUUAUGCUCUUUCUCAGUUUUACAAUAGUUUUGAUAUAAAGUAUGCAGUAUAGUUGUAUCAAUCAUGCAUUAUUCAUUACAAAAUAAUCGUAUAUAUGUGCAAAAUUAGUUGUUCUUUUGACUGGUGAUAAUGCUGAAAUUAAUCACAAUAGUCUAUACUAAAUCCAUUUUUAAGAAAAAAAUACAUAAAAGAAAUCCCUUUAUUCAUUUCUAUUCCACAUUCUGAAUUUAACCCAAUCUUUCUUUAACCAGUAUGUUCAACAAAAUUACCAUAAAAUCAUUCUCUAGAAAAAAAAAACACAAGCCAAUCAAUCCAUAUUCUCUAUAACAGAAAGAAAUCAAGAACAGCACAGUAACAUUGAACAUUAAUUACCUUAGGGUUUUGUAUCUCGACUUGAACAAGGGAAAGAGAAGAGAUCUACAACUUCUUUCCUUUGAAGAAAAGGACUUGUAAUGAACAGCAAUAAGAGAAGGUGUUGAAACUGAGAAAUUCUGGAGAUGAAUUAAUGGGGAAUUAGUGCUUAAAACUCUCGUCAUUAAUAAUAAAGACAUUAAUUUAGAGAAAAACUGUGUUUGUAGUUUGUUGAAGAGUGGUUGGUUGGCUGGCAAUUACAGUUAGAGAAGAAGGAGUGCACACUGCACAGUGCAGUGAAGCUAUACGUAAACUCUAGAUCUUUCUGGCUUUACAAUGUGACACGUGGAAAAGUGCUCAUAGCAUAAUCGAAUUGGCUACCGUGGAAUAUACCUGCCCUUGGCCCUCCUGAUCAUAGUCGGAAUUACCAAAAACACCCUAACAGUCAUAGUCUGAUGCUGGUUAACCAUCUUUCAUUCUUUCUCUUUCUUCACUCAAAUUAUUUUUUCUUUCUGAAGAAAGUUUAUUUACAUCUCUUUAAGCUUUAGUAUAUAUACCGCAACCGUAUAUACAUACAAAAUUUGGUGAAAUUCACAUUCAUUGACUCAAUGGAUGCAUCUAGUCUUCUCUUGGCCAUAGUGUCUAUCUGGUACCGUCUGCAAAAAGGCUGCAGUAUUGCUCAGAUUUCCUAAAUAAAUGAUGCAACUUCAGCGGAAUUGCCAUCUAUCCAACUGCAGCUUGAGUUCAGCACUUCGGCCAAGUCCUUCUAUGCCUUCCUCUGACAAAAUAUUGGAUAAUUCCACCUGAAAGGGAAAAAAAAAUGAACGAUGAAUGAGAUGAAAUUAAGCGCAUCAAGAUUAGACAAGGUAGCAGUCAGUGCAAAGUGUAACAAAAAGGUCAUGCAUGAACAUUCUCAUAUAAAAGAAAAAUGCAAUAUAAAAUUACUCACAAAAUAUUAUUGAUCUAUGAAGAGAUUCACAUGUCAUGAUUGAUCUAUGAAGAGAUUCACAUGUCAUGGGCAUAAUUCAAGUCAGUAAUUUUUUGACAGUAAGAUUUGUAUUCCUUCUUUUUAUCAACAAAAAAUGGAUAUUUCCGUAAUCAGGUUUAAUAAGGUGUAGCAUGACAUGUGGUUUAUUAAGCUUCUAAAUCUAGGGAAAAGAUUUCUUCCUGGAUGUGUUGUGCUCUGUGCAACUGAAACAUAUUCUCUCAUCCUUUUUCCUUAAUUCCAAACUUAAAAAUAGUUUACCUGAUGGAAAGAGUCAUGAAAAAUCCGAUUACAAAAUCCAUUAAACAGAAAAACUUGGUAUUUUUUUUUUAUUUUUAUCAAAAUUUGGAUUUCACAAUAGUUGUUACACCUCCAUGCAAUUUCAUACUCACUCAAAUUGUAAAAUGAAACUCAUAGUGGCUUUCUCGUCUUCUUCAACAUCUAUGAUGAUACUGGACUAGAGAACGAGCAAAUAUACAGUCCAGAAUGACUAAUGCUAAAUCAAGGCCACAAUAUAGCUUUAUCCCAGUUCUCCAUGUAAACAGUCGUACCGAGUUUCAUCUGACUGACAGGAAUCUGGAAUCCUACUGUACGGAAAUUUAUUGUUAUUACUUAUUACUCAUAGGGACCAAGUGGGCUUCCUACCUAAUACCUGUGAUAUGCGCAUGUACCUGGUUGUAAAGAAGCAAUCUAUUGUAAACAGAGAAAACAAACUUACAAUUGCACCACCAGAUGUACUCUCUCUCAGUCCCUGGUAUUUGACACUGGGAAUAACAAGAUUUUUCUGUUUUGCUUUCCUCAGGAGUUGGGAAAGAACCCGAAAGUGUCAGGAACUGAAUGACCUGAUUCAUCAUGGUGAAUACUACUAAAAUUCAAGUAAUCAUCUAAACACAAUUUACCUCGACGCUUUGACCUCUUGAAAGAAGAAAAGAAAUUGGGACACCUGUGACACGAGCCAUCUCCACAUAAUUGUUAAUAACCAUCAACUUGUCUAAAAGCUUUAGUGGAAGGUGAGCAUCCUGCAAUUGUAUCAAAAAUUAUUGAUAAGCAAAAUGGAGAAGUUGCAAGACUUUAUGUGACUUGUCCUUGUCUAAAGGAGAAUAAUUCAGUUCCAUUUCUAAGAAAUUAAAAGAGGAUGCAAAGGUACUUACAAGAGCUCUAAGGGGCAAAAAUAGUUACUUGUCUACUCCUUUAAAACCGUAUUGUUUUUCAAUUUGGAUUUUGGACAAAAACAAAAUACAUGUCAUACCUUCAAGCAAUACACAGCAAGCCGCCUCCUAGUUUCUGAGUUCCCAUUCUGAAGGUCAGAUAUUACUGAGAAGUGAACACCCUCUUUCUGCCCUUGGAUUUAAAUAGUUAAUGAAGUUAAUUAUAAGCAAGUGCACAUCAAUGAAAUAUAGACCUAUGAAUACGAUAAAAGAGGAGAGGAAGGGGGAGGGGGGUUAAGAAAACCUAAUAACCUCACCUGUUCACCAAGAAAGUGAGCUGGGACCGAACUUAAGGAGUAUGAACUUAAAUUGUAAUCCUUUUUCAUGGACUGCAGCAAAUUAGGGUAAAAAAUGAAGUCGUUCAAUUAUAUCCACAAGUACUUGUAAAUGUCCAACCAUAAAACAACCUAAGCUUAAGAAUACAGCACACAGAACCUGAAAUACAUCAAAUUUGACUCUGCCUAACUGCAAUUUCUUUAGUCGUUUGCUUCCCAAACUUUCUACAAGGAGCAAAAUACAUGUAUCAAUAUUAACCCCCAAUAGUUAUUAGUGAUGAAGUAUGAUAGAAGAUACAUUCAGUGAUUUCACAAAAUCAACAAAUUUACAGAUAGAUGAAAGAUACAUUAAGUGAAAAUUAAACAAUGACAAACUAUGUAAAAAAAAAACUUUAUUUGUUGUUUCACAUGGUUAUAUCAUAUUAAGGAAAAACAACUUCGACCAAGAACCGCAAAGUAAGCUUUGAUUCUCUUCUACAAACAUCCACCAAAUGCAUGUUGAUUAACAGGACUAUAAACAGAAUUCUGAUGAACCGGCUUUUUAACUCAAGCAGGUACACCAUAACUAUAAAAUGGAAAUUACUAACCUUGAUAAAAAGUGUGCAUCCUUAACACGGAUUCUGCUGUUUCUGAUGCGUCCAAAAAUGGGAAACUCUGAUAUUUUUAAGACCUCCGCUCUCUAAAAUUCACCAAAAGAAACCUUUAACUUUAAUAUAGUCACAAGAAAAAGGUAUAUGACACUGGGACCCAAAAACUUUAAUAAGAAUGAAGUACAAUGUUCUCAAGGAAACCAAGAAAGAAGCAGAAGAUCGAAGGAUUAAAAGUGUACCUCAACAAGAUAAGGUAAGUCAAAAUUUGAGAUAUUAUAUCCAAGUAUGAUAUCAGGAUCAACUUCGUGAACAAACCCCUGUAUUGCCUUUGCAUAUAAGUAAUAAUAUGAAAAAAUAAUACUGAGAAGUAAAAACAAGAUGAUUGAUUCUCUUGGAGCUUUAAGUUAGCAUUUGUGAUUGAACACUUCCAAAGUAAUGAAAGAUAAUUAAAAGGUAAAGUUCAACAAUAAGAGAUAGUCUGAGGUAUCUGACUAGACUGCAAUUAGUCUUUUACUGUAAUUCCAAAAAAUACCCUCAAACUAGAUAACAUACUUUUUAGGGGGAUUUAGAGAUACCCCCCAAAAUAAUAGGAACUCUUUGAGAUACCCCCCAGAUUUAGAAACUCUUAGAGAUACCCCCAUUUUUCCAUUUGAAGCCGGUCAACCAAGCCGUUGACCAUGGUCUGACCAGUCUUCAUAAUUUUUAGACAAUUUUACCCUCCCACCAUUUAAACCCACAUCCUAGUCAUUUUGCCCAGUCAUCAAUAAUGCCAUGUCAGCAAACAAAACUUUCAUUAGAGAUACCCCCCAAAAUACAAGUUUCAUUUGAGAUACCCCCGAAAUUGCAGAGAAAGGUAAUUUGGGGAAGAUGAUGAAAGAUGAUGAACCAAAUCUCAAAAAAUACUAAAAUACACAGUACAAAACCACUAAAUACUAUAAUUUACCUUCAUAUCAACGUUUCAACUAGGUAGAUCUAGUAAAACUACUAAAAAUUAAAGUAUUUAUUGGUUCUUCUAGAUCGAGUAAUGAAGUGUCAUUCUUUCACCAGAUCUAGUAAUGGAGUAAUAAAUGAGAGAUGAUAAUGGCUAGAUCUGUUAAUGAAGAAGGAAGAAAAAUGAAGGUGAAAGAAGAAUGGUUUGAUGAAGAAAAAGCAAGAUAGAUAGAUAGAUAGGAUGGAGAAGAAGGAAGAAAGAAAAGAAAUGAUGAUGAAGAAGAAAAAGUGAGAUGGAGUUUGAUGAUGGUGAAGAAGAAAAGAGGAGGAAGAAGAAGGAGGAGGAAGAAGGUGGAGUUUGAUGAUGUAACGGUAGAUAGGAUUAAAUAUAGAUCUAGAUCUAUUUUGAACGGUUAGGAUAAGAAGUGGUAGUUGUAAGUGGGUUUGCUGACAUGGCAUUAUUGAUGACUGGGCAAAAUGACUAGGAUGUGGGUUUAAAUGGUGGGAGGGUAAAAUUGUCUAAAAAUUAUGAAGACUGGUCAGACGAUGGUCAACGGCUUGGUUGACCGGCUUCAAAUGGAAAAAUGGGGGGUAUCUCUAAGAGUUUCUAAAUCUGGGGGUAUCUCAAAGAGUUCCUAUUAUUUUGGGGGGUAUCUCUAAAUCCCCCUACUUUUUAGUAUUUUACAAUUUACACACUAUCUGCAUCUCCUGUGGGAAAAAAAACAAAAUCGUAAUGUCAAGGUAAAUGGUUUCCUUUACGACCUAUAUAUAAGGGAAAUAAUUAUUGUAGAAAGGAGGUUCCUAGCGAUAACUGCUAAGAGGAAAGAUGCAAGCUAGCUGACACUAGGAAUAGCCAAAUGUAGAUCCUCAACUCCACCAAUGAUCACUGGGUACCCCAUAAAAAAACAUUAACAAAAUAAAACGAUCUCAGUUAACAAAUGUGACAUACCCUCCAAGAAAGCAAAACUUCUCUUUCUGUGUCAAAUGACAUAACAUCUACNNNNNNNNNNNNNNNNNNNNNNNNNNNNNNNNNNNNNNNNNNNNNNNNNNNNNNNNNNNNNNNNNNNNNNNNNNNNNNNNNNNNNNNNNNNNNNNNNNNNNNNNNNNNNNNNNNNNNNNNNNNNNNNNNNNNNNNNNNNNNNNNNNNNNNNNNNNNNNNNNNNNNNNNNNNNNNNNNNNNNNNNNNNNNNNNNNNNNNNNNNNNNNNNNNNNNNNNNNNNNNNNNNNNNNNNNNNNNNNNNNNNNNNNNNNNNNGCGACCAGCACACUCUAUAUCAAAACUCAAUAUGAGGAAUGGAGCCAUUUUUGAAAAUUCCCCUUCUGGAACAUGGCUGAUUAAUUCAGUAUACCUGCAAACAGUCUUAAGGAAAAGAGUUUCCUCAGAAGAACAAGAGGCUUUUCAAGACACCUUAUCUAAUUAAAAUUGAGCACCCUCUAAUGCAUAAGGAUACAGGCAAUCGAACUCCAGUUGGCAAUAAGACAUUGGUUUUGUUGCCUUAUAUUUCUCUACAGGUACUUCAAUCCAGUUGCCACCAACAAUAUUGGAGUCAAUCAUGAAGCGAAGAGCAAAUUCAACAUUGCUUUCACAUGUCAUAAAUGUCUUCACACCAAUACCAUCAAUGUGAAUGCCCUUCUGAAGGAUGCCUGUCAAGGUUAACAAAAUUUAAGAUCAAGAUAGUAUGUAGAGCAUAUCGUAAAGGACAUUAACAAACAUAUAUGUGCAGUGACACGUGAAAAUCAUUGAGUCUAGUGAUGUUUAGGUCAAGAGAAGUUAACCAAAACUAAUCUGUUUACUACUUCCUAUUCCUAAUGCAAACAUCAAAAGGAAGACAAAAGAAGAAAGGGUUUGGGAAACCCAUUAGUAAUGUCCACUUACAAAUAUAGUAAUACAAAAGUGAAGGUUGACAGAUGCUUUAGAAAACUAAGAAACAUUAAAGUUGGAGAAACUUGAAAUGCUUACCUGGGCAUUCAAAGACCAAUUUUGGCAAUGCAACAACAAUCUUAAGUAAAAGGUGAGACUGCUUCUCCUGCUCUUGGAAAUUCAUAAUGCUCCUGUUAUGCACAAUCUCUAUCUGUAGAACGAAUCGGGGAAUCUUACAGUAUUUGUUCCUCUUCUCUUCCUGUAUCCUUGCCUAAAAAUGCAUCAUGCCUGAUGAGUACAAUGGCUAUGAAAUUUACAUAAGGAGAUUAAAAUAUCUGGUUCCCAAUCCAUGCUACUUCAUCGCAGAAGCAGAGAUCCCCUUAUUAUUUUUAAGCUACGUGGAUCUCUAACUUGGCCAAUAACAAUGACAGUUUUUAAAAGGAAAUAACAUAAAGGGAAGCAGAAAUAUAAGAAAUAAGGCAAAUCAAUUAAAAGAUUAUCUCUAGACUCUUAUGCAAACGAGGGACAUCGUCAGGGCCCAUUCCCAGAGGACAACUAAUGUAGAAAUAUGGCUCGAAACCAUGAACAUUGCAACAAACACUAUGCUCUGUAGACAUCAAAAAGUAUCAUAGGCAUCACUUCAAAAAUGAGCAAAACAACCAUAACUUCAAUAUCAAUUUACUGGGUUUAGUUGAUCUGAUAGUUUUUAAGUUUUAGUUAAAAAGACUAAACUUUUACUUCUAAGACAGAUGUCUCCGCAAAUUACAUAAUUGCAUAGAAAUAAAAACUGUUCCUUUUCGUUAAAUACAAAUACCCAAUCUUCUUCCCGAUAAACAAGAAAAGUACUCAAUCAGUUCAAAUGUUAAUUUAUUUAUAAAAUUGGUGAUACUUUCCACAUAAUUGAAAGUAUUAGGUUUUGUAAUUCAGCCAAUUAAAAUACAAUUAACAAAAAUCGAGAAAGACAAGCAUAUCAAACCUUCUUUAGUAACAUCAAAGAUUCUAACAACAGGAGCAAAAUCAUUACUACAAUUCGGCAACAACUCUUUAUUUUUCUUGCAAAUCACAUGAUCAAUCUGAAGAUGUUGAAAAACUGCAAAAGAAUUACAACAACAUAAAUCUCAAAAACAUAAAACCCUAAUGAAAUUAGGGUUUAAUAAAGAAAAAUAAAAAUGAAAACUUACUAAUGCUUUUGUUGUUGGAUUCUUGUGAAAUAUAAGAUGAAGAGACAGAAGGUCUUCUCCAUAUACUAAGACGAGAAGAAAUAACUUGUUUACACUCUUGUUGAUCACAAAGAACUAUAGCUUUUUCCCAAAAAGCCUCUUCAUCGACAACCUUCUCUUCUUCUUCUUCUUCCCAAAACACAUCUUCAUCAAUAUACUCAUCUUCUUCAUUAAUCUUCCAUUGUGAGUGUUGUUGUUGAAAUCGUUUUGAUGGUGAUUGAGUUGGAAUUGAAGAUGGUGAAUUUCGUUUCUUGUUGUUCAUAUUUUAUCUUCUUUUCUUUGGCGGGAAAGAUGGAAAACUCAAUUAACGAACAAAUCAACUUCCGUCUUUUGUGGAGAAUUACUUCUAUAGUUCUAUUCUUAGGUGAAAAAAUCGUUUAGGGGCGGAUAUCCGAUCUGCCAAAAACCGGAUUAUUCCGCGGAUAUCCGACCUCCCGUGUCGAAUUUUUGAGGUUUGGCAAAUUCAAAAAAACCGGAAUUUUUCGCAGAUAUUCGCGAAUAUUCGCGAAAAAUUCGGCAAAUUGGGAGGUUUUCUGCACUUUCCGUGUUUUUUUUUCUGAUUUCGAUAUAUAAACUUAUAAUUAAAAGAAAAACAUACAUUACAAAUUAAACACACGACAAAUCAUACAAGGAAGCUAAGACGGAACUAUUACACAAGAUAGUUUUACUCAUAGGUGAAAAAAUCGUAAAUAUCGGGCGGAUAUUCAUAGAACUUUUAUAUGUUUACAAUACAAGAACUAAACACAAACAACCUCAUUACCAAUUAUUCAUUACACAAAAACAAACCUUGGAUACAAACAGUAUACUGGUUUGCCAAAAGUGAGAGAGAACUUCACUUUGGCAUGGGCGUGCUUUUUUUUCGUUUCUUUUUGAUAUAUUGCUCUUGGAGGGCCAUCAAGUUCGUCGCGAAAGUUUCCAAACGUCUAGUGCCUUUUGGACCUUUUUUUGAUAAUCUCAUCGAAAAUUCUAGUUCGGAGGGAUUAAAAAUAAAUGUGUUAAUUUUAUAAUCGAAAAUUUCAUAAAUUUCGAUAAAUAUCGGUUUUUGCCGAAUUAUGCCGUGAAUAUCCGAUAAAUGCCGACCGGCAUGGGGUGUUUUAAAAUCCGUUUAUAUGCCGUAUGCCGUACCGUGCCGAUCUCCAAAAAAACGGAAUAUAUCGCGAAUAUCCGGUCGGCAGAACCGAUUUUUUCACCUAUGGUUCUAUUGUCCUUUGAUUCGAAUUAGGGGCCAUUUUGUAAAAACCCCACAAGUUUAUGUUAAUAUUUGCGUUUACCCCACUAAAGAUUUUUUUUUUGUCUUAUCACUAGCAAGUUAACGAUUCUGUCUCCUGACCGUUUGCAGUUGUUAACGUGGCUAGAACUUAAAAACGCUGGCUUAUUUAAAACGAAAAAAUGCUGACGUGGUUUAAACUUAAAAACAGAGGACAGGUGUGAUGAUCCAACGGUCGAGAUGUAUCUUUAAUCCAACGGCUAGGGUGAGGGAUCUAAUAAUAUAAAGGAAACACUUGCUAGUGAUAACAACUCACAAGCGCGAUCUUUCCCAUUCUUCCCGCCUAAUUCCUUCUUCUCCCUCUCAUAAACCCUAGCAAAAUCUUGUCUUUCAACCAAAUCUGUUGUAUUUGUGGUAAAUUCAACUCAAAUUGUUAGUGGACGUGUGAUCAGAGUUUGAUCGUAGCUAGGACUUGAAGGUAAAUGUCCAACUUCAAUCAACUUUUUCACUUAAUUUUGUUUCUGUAAUGGAAAAUGGUUUUUUUCUAUAAUUCUGAGUUGGAAUGUUCUGUUGUAUGAUAGAUCGUUACAUGCAAUUACAUAAAAUCUGUUUUGAUUGUCAUCAAAAUUUAGUGGUUUUCAUAUUCUUUCAAAUUUGGUGUUCAAUUUUUCUCUGCAAUCAAGUGAUUGUUUUUAAGUUUAUCUGUCAAUUCUCUAGUUUCCUUCUGUUAUAAUAUGGAUUUUUACAUUAAAAUGACAAAAAACUGUUUAUCUGUUGAUCAAAUUUAGGGGUUUUGCUAAAAUUCAUAAAAAUUUAGGGUUUUUAUAUAUUUCUAUUUCAACAGCAAUUUUGUGUUAUUAUUAGUUGGAAUGUUCUGUUAUAAUAUGUAUUUUUACAUUCAAGUUACAAAAAACUGUUUAUCUGUUGAUUAAAUUUAAGGGUUUUGCUGAAAUUCAACAAAAUUUUAGGGUUUGUAUGCAUCUCUGUUUCAACGACAAUUUUGGAUUGUUAUUGUUUUAGAUCCAUCAUUGUUCUUAUUUUAAUUGUUGUUAUUGUUGUUGUUUGUCCAAUGUAUGUAUACAAACAAACUUGGUGAUCAAAAUGUUGUUGUUGUUGUUGUUGUUGUUUGUGUUGUAUGUAUACAAUAUUUAUAUAAGGUUUUUUAUACACAGAUGACAGAGCUUCCUAAGAGACAUCUUAGGUUUCAUUUUGGAGGUAAUUUUACAGAUAUUGGACAAGUUCCAAAGAAACUAAGGUGUUAUAAGGGUGGAAGUACUGUUGAUUCAAAGCAUUGGGAUGGUGAUGAAGUGUCGUUAUUAGAUUUGGCUAAAGAAGUGUUUAAGUUAAUAGAUGUACCAGAUGGGAGAAGUAUAGCAUUGUCAUGGUUUAUGAUAUGUAGGGAUGAGGGUUAUAUUAAUAAGAGGUUUCACAUGGUGGAAGACAUAGAUGUGUUGGAUUUCUUUAAGAAUGCCAAACAAGAUAAACAGAAUUUCAUUCACUUAUAUGUUGACUUUGUUAGUCCUACGUACAUAGGAUCUAUCAACAGACAACUACAAGUUCGUGUCCAACCUAUUCUUCAACCAACACCACCAUCUUCAGUUCCUUUUGCUCAAACUAGUCAGCAAGUUGAUGUUGAUGAGAUUCCACCAUGUAGUGAAAACCCUGUCAGGAAUGAGGAGCUCCCACCAUCCACUAGACAGAAGCUGCCAACAAGGAGAAAAGGAAAAUCACCAGUGAAACCCAAACCAACAACACCUGUUAAGCCCAAACCAACAACCCCUGUGAAGCCCAAGAGAAAAUCACCAGCAAAGCCCACAAGGUGGAGUAAAAGACUUGCAACAAAUCGAGUUGUUAAUGACUGUGAAUCACAAGGUUGGUCAAUAACAUGUAAUCUUAUAAACUUAAAAUUUCAUUGCUUUUGUUUAACCUGUAAUUUUGAUAUAAACUUACGGUUUAAUUGUUUUUGUUGCAGAUGGUGGUGAUGAUGAUGUCUGUCAGGUUGAAGGCCCUCAGGUUGAACUAGAGGAAGUAGACCCUUCUUUCUUAGAUGAAGUUGAGUCCACAUUUGCUGUGUAUGGUGAUGAAGGUUAGUGUUUUUUUAUUUUAGUUUUACUAUGGCUAUGUUGGUGACAGUAUUGAAAAUUUCAUAGGAGACAGUACAUAGCAUAUAUAUAUAAUACAAAAAGAUCAUGCAUGAUAUGAUGUUGGCUCUUAUAUAUAAUGUUUUUUUUAUUUGAGUUUUGCAUUUGCUAUGUUAGUGACAGUAUUGAGGAUUCAGUUGUUUUUCAAUGAGUUAUUUAUCUUGUGUUUAUGUGUUAUAUAAGGGAAUGGCCAUGAGACAGUCAAUUGUGAUCAUUAUGAUGAAGGGACUAUUAAUCUUGAAGAUGAUGAUGAAGUACUUCGAAGGAUGCCUACAACUAGAAGCAAAGGUCCACCACCUGAGUACAAUAUAGAUAGAAUUGAUGCAGAAGAAUACUAUGACAGUCCUGAUGAUUAUUCUGAUGGAACUGAGUCUGAAGAUGAUAGCCCACUCACAGCUGAAGAGAUAGAAAGAGCUAAGGCACAGAUUCAAGAGGAUACACAAAGAGAAAGAGAACUAGAAGAUGAAAACCAUAUGCAAAAAGGUAUUGAAAGGGAUGACAGAGUAAAUGAGAACCAAAGUGAACAAGUGAUUCAUGAGAAUGAUGCUGACAUGGAGUGGAUAAGAAGAACAGCUAGGAUUGAUGAUGCUGAAUAUGAAAAUCCACACCAUGGUAAGAAGACAAUAAAAGAAGACCAGAGAUGGUAUGAUAUUUAUGAAUGUAGGAAGGCUUUAAGGACUUUUGCUAUCAAGAGAAAAUUUUUGAUGAAGCUUAAGAAAAAUGACAGUGACAGGAUUGUUGGUGUAUGUCAGGGUACUACACUUGGUGGAAAGAAGUGUAAGUAGAUGGUCUCUAUUGGAAGGAUGAAUGAUGGCCACACAAUGAGGGUUGGGAGGAUCAAUGAUGUUCACAUUUGUGUGUCCAAUGAAAUAGAAGUGAAUCCUACAGCCAAUGCACAAUGGAUAGCUAAGAAGAUAGAAAAGGAUAUGAGGGUGCAUCAUAGGUCAUUCAAGCCUAGAGACAUAGUUGGCAAGAUGUGGGCUAAGUAUACAUUGAAUAUUAAGUAUUGGCAAGCAUGGCAUGCAUUGACUAUAGCACUUGAGUUGGUCCAUGGAAACUAUGAAGAGAGUUACAUCAAACUUCCAGAGAUGUGUAGGCAAAUCCUUGAUGCUAACCCUGGUAGUCUUGCAAAAUGUGCAAAGAAUGAUCAGUUUAAUACUUUUGAUAUUUGUGUAAUUGCUUUUAAAACUUCUUUGGAUGGUUUUGUGAGAGGAUGUAGGCCACUUAUUGGAUUAGAUGGUUGUUUUUUGAAAGGUAAGUAUGGAGGUGUUUGUUUAUCAAUUGUGGCAUUGGAUGGGAAUAAUGGAAUGUUUCCAUUAGCUAUAUGUAUUUGUGUGAGGGAGAACUUAAAUAAUUGGGAGAGGUUCUUGGAAAUCAUGGAACCACACUUGAGUAAGCACAGUCAAACACUUGUAAUCAUGAGUGAUAGGCAAAAGGGUUUAAAUAUUGCAGUAUCAAAGGUCUUCCCUGAUGCUCAUCAAAGAUUUUGCUUCAGACAUAUGGUUGCAAACAUGAAGAGGUAAUUCAGUAUUUAUUGAUGAAUAGUUUUUCAUUUUCUAAAAGCUUUUGCAUUUUUUGCCUUGGUUCUAAUGUCAAUGUACUUUAUGAAUUUCAGGUAUUUCAGUGGUGUUGAUGCCUUGGCUUGGCCUGCCUCAAAAGCUUAUUCAGCUACAUAUUGGGAGCUUGACAUGGCAGCAAUGCACAAGAUUGAUCCUGGUGCUACACAAUAUCUGAUGGAUGAAAAUCCUACAAGAUGGGCAAGAGCACACUUUGAUAAAGAAUCCAAGGCAGAGCAUACUACAAAUAAUUUGAGUGAGGCAUUUAAUGCAAGAAUUCUGGAAGCAAGAGAAAAACUUGUUCACAGGUUGAUUGGUACAGUCAGUAGUUGGCUCAUGAAGCUGCAAUUUGAGAGGAGGAAGAUAGCUAGGACUUGGGAUCAAUCUAGUCUUGUUCCUAGGGUAUUGGAAAUUUUAUAAGAGAAGAAAAAAAAGAUAAAUGAAUACACUUGUUAUGGAUCUGAAGAUCACCUGUACCAGGUUAAUAAUCACAAUGGUAAACAUUGGAAGGUAGAUCUUACAGAACAAAAUUGUACUUGUGGUGAAUGGCAGCUAACAGGAAUACCAUGUGUUCAUGCAGUGAGAGUGUUGAACUCUAUGAGAGUUGAUUGGAAGAGGUAAAUGCCUUUAUACCUAAUUUUUUUAGAUUUUGCAGACAUUUUCUGAUAGAGGAUAAUGCACUUUACACUUUGCAGGUAUUGCAGUCCAUUUUUUACAGUUGAAGCAUAUAGUCGAGUGUAUGAGGGUUCUAUCAAACCUAUACUGCAUGAGUCUGAGUGGCAGAAGGUGAGUAUAGUAAUUUUUAUAAAAUGUAUAAUAGUAUACUUGCGAAGUUAUUUUUCUUUGUGUUUAUUAAAGUUUAAUGUAAUAUGCAGAUAACUGAGGUGAUCAAUCCACCAAUAAAAACAAGAGGACCAGGUAGGCCACCUAUUGCAAGAAAGAGAGGGCUUGAUGAAGGUCCAAUCAGAUAUGGGGGGAAGAAACAACAUAGAUGCAGCAUAUGCAAAGGGUAUGGGCACAACAAAACAGGGUGUACUGGAGUUGGUCCUGACUAUGCAGAUUAUGUGGCUGCUACAUCACAAGGUCCUGCAAAGAAAGGUGCAACAGAAAAAGGAGGAAGACCUAGAAAAAUUGACUAUGGUGUGCCAACAGAAAAUAUUGCAGAAGAUCCAGCAUUCAGUGAGUUUAUUGCACAGUUUGAGCCAGUAGUUAGUGGGAGAGGCAAGGGAAAAGGAAAAAAAACCUACAAAGUAAAGGGAAGAAGAGGACAAAUGCUGCACAAACAACUGAUCCAUCACAACCUUUUGAUCCUUCAUUGUAUGGUUUUGGAACUGCACCACAGUCUGUUGGCCAAUUUGAUCCCUUAUUCUACGGGGGAGUGCCUACACCUUUAACUCCCAACUUUCAGCAUUCUCAGGUUCGAUUCCAAACUCCUAUGUACUCUUCUCAGUUUAAUAGUCCUACUCCAAUGCCUGGUAUCCAGUUCAGGAACCCUACUCCAAUGCCACAAGCUCCCUCAAUUAGACUUCCUCAGCAACAAACAACAUGGAGACCACCUCCCCCUGACAGGCAACCCUACAUGAGGCCUCCACCAGCCAACACACAUGUUUUCAGAGCUCCAGCAGUGUUCCCAUUACAUGGUACAAGAACUGAAAGAUUGGCAGCUUUGUUUGGAGUCAACACAACAUCUGCAGCUCAAGGUGCAACAACGAGCAGCCAAGCUUCAAGUUCUAAUUUAGUUCAACCAAGAUGGAGGAUUUAGUUUAUGUUGUUUUUUUUAGAAAAGAAUGUUGUUUAUUUUGUAAGUUGCUCAGAUGAACUAUUUAAGAGCAUUUUUUGGUGAUUUUGUAAGUGAUGUCGAACAAAUUAUGGAUGUCGAACAAAUUAUGGUUAUAUGUAAGUGAUGUUGAACAAAUCAUGGUUAUUUUGUUGCAGGUGUUAUGAAAUUUAAAUGUUUGUUUAUGGUUAUUUUACUCAGAUGAAGUUUGGUUUAUACAUGUUAUGAAAUUUAAAUGUUGCUGCAGAUAAAACAUGCAUUCCUAUUCAUCAGAUAAAACAUGCAUUUCCAUUCAUCAUAAUUUUUGUUAUACAUCUUACUUAGAACAACUUCUGCUACACUUACACACUCACAUUAGUUUGGGCUAAAAUCACUCAUUCACAUUAGUUUUUGCUAAAAGCUUCACAAUCUUACUAAUUGCCUUGGCACUCCCCUGUACACUCAUGUCCAUGUUCUAGUCUGUCGAGAUUUUGAGUGUGACAGUAUCUUCCUCAUCAACAAGUUGCUUCUCCAUCUUAUUAUUCUUGAGUGUGACUGAAUCUUCAUCAACAAGUUGCUUCCCCAUCUUCUUUUUCUUCAACAUAUUGCUCACUAUUUCUUGCUUCUUCAACUCCACAUCUUCAAUUUCGUCCACCCACAAAAAUCCUUUGCAAACAAUGGAUUGAAACUUGCAGCUCAAAAAUUGUCUUCCAAGUGAUCGCUUUUGUGAACUAGUCCCAAACUUCAUCGUGUGAUCAUCGCAGAGGAGGACACAUGGGAAAUCAUGAAACACGCAAUUCUUUGCGAAGUGACCACUACCUCCACAGAUAAAACACUUAAACUGAGAAAAAACUGAGCUUGAAGCACCUUUUGAAUUCAUUAUAACCUUAAAUUGGGAUUGGGAAGAAGGCGACCAAGACAAAUUUGGUUUUUCACUGUGUCUCUGUUUGCGUUUCAGAGGUCAGAUAUUGGGGAAGAAGACACUAUUUAAAAGCCACUAUUUAAAAGCCUGGUUCAGUCGAGUCGGGUCCAACGGUAACAUUAAAAACAUAUUACAACCGUUGGAUUAAAGAUACAUCUCGACCGUUGGAUCAUCACACCUGUCCUCUGUUUUUAAGUUUAAACCGCGUCAGCAUUUUUUCGUUUUAAAUAAGCCAGCGUUUUUAAGUUCUAGCCACGUCAGCAACUGCAAACGGUCAGGAGACAGAAUCGUUAACUUGCUAGUGAUAAGACAAAAAAAAAAUCUUUAGUGGGGUAAACGCAAAUAUUAACAUAAACUUGUGGGGUUUUUACAAAAUGGCCCUCGAAUUAGAAGUUGAAGAGAGAGACACGAAAGCGUUACUUAUUUAUUUUUUAUUAUUCUUCCCGCCACCGCCAAAACCACGCGGGAUUAAAUUGGUCGAACUCGCCCGGGGUAAAUAGGUCUUUUGGCCCAAGUAAGGACCAACUUAGGGUCUGUUUGAUAAUGUGAUUCGAGUCUGGAAAUUAGAUUUUCUGAGAAAUCUCGAUUUAUCAUGUUUAAUUACAAGGUAUAUAAGCAGUAAAAACAAAAUGAUAAGUUAAAAUAGGGGGCAUAUUGGAGCUCAAUGUUAACGAACUCUCAUUAAAACACAUAUUUACAUGAUGUUUUAUUGAUAUUCAUGAUCGAUAUAGCACUUUAGUUAUUUAAUAAAGAUUUUAUUUUCUGAAUAUUUGCAUAUGAUAGAUCUAUUUCCAGGUAAAUUAAUUUUCUGCCCAAAUAAUCAACCUCCCCUGUCGUAAAAGACUAGGUAAACUAUCCUAACAAUCACUUGAUGUUCGAUAUUAACUUUGUAUCAACUAAAGUUUUAUCAAUAACACAAAAUUACAUUAGGCACUUGUUAAUUCUAAUUUCAGGUGUUAUUUAAAUUAGAAAGGUUCAAAAUCAGACCAGUGAAAAAAAAAGAUUUUAAGUAAUCCUCACAUGAUACUCUUGUAUACAUAUAUAUUUGGUUUCAAACUUUCAAUUAUAUAAAGGAAACUGUUGAGUGGACUUUACAAGAAUAAUUAAGCUCAAUCCUUGGUGAAGAGUAGGAUUAGCAUUCCUUCCUACAGAAAUACAGAUCCAAAUUCUUUGGUCAUGCAUUUAUGACGAAGGCAAUCAAGCUAUGGAAGGUGGAUCCAUGGAUGGAUUUGGAGGCAUUUGAAGUUCUUCAUUGCUUGCUUCUAACAUUUCAACUACCUUAGUUAUUGAAGGUCGACUGGCUGGGUGAGUUUGUAUGCACCAAAGAGCCACCAUCAUCUUUUUGGCCGUUGGGUGCUUCAAAAUUUCUCCAGCACCCUCUAACUUCAUGAUUUCGGGUCCUUCCACCUUAGAGUCUUGUUUAAGCUGAUUAUAUAUCCAGUGCGGAAAAUAUAUACCACUGAUAUUCUCCACUGUUACAUCAAGAUUCUUUCUACCCCCUAUCAUUUCCAAUACCAUCAUUCCAUAGCUAUAGACGUCCGACUUGUGAGACACACCCCCAAGGUUUCUACAACUGAUUUCAGGUGCAAUGUAACCCAUAGUUCCUCGAGCUCCAACCAUGGACACAAUGCUUUCUUUUGUUGGGCAAAGUUUAGCUAGCCCAAAAUCGGAUAUCUUUGGGCAAAAGUCUUGGUCUAAAAGGAUAUUGUGGGGUUUAAUGUCGAAAUGCAAAAUACGAGUGUUACAACGACAAUGCAAGUAUUCCAACCCUCUUGCAAUUCCAAGUGUUAUUUGGUAACGCUUAUCCCAUCCCAAAGUAGUAGCAUUGGAAGUUGACAUCUUAUCGUUGUAGAUGAACCUUUCGAGAGAGCCAUUCGGCAUAAAUUCAUACACCAGUGCUCGUUUCGUUCCCUCAGUACAAUAGCCCAGUAGGCUAACCACAUUAACAUGAUUGGUCCUACCAAUGGUAGCUACUUCGUUGAUAAAAUCUUCUCCGUUACCCUUGGAUUCAUUCAAUACUUUUACUGCAACUAAACGACCAUCACGAUUAAGCUUUCCUUGAAAGACACUUCCAUAUCCUCCUUGACCUAAUGUAUUCUUAAAUGAAUUGGUCAUUUUCUUUAUCUCUGAAUAACUGUAUCUUUGUAGAUUAACUCCAUAGCUCUCUAGGAACUCUUCUACAUUUGUUGGUUUCUUAAUUUUCUUCUUCCAUCGAGAGAUAGUUGAGUAGUACAAUAUGUAGAACGUCUUCCUAUAAAUAAGGAGUAAGAUUAAAAGUAAUAAAAGUAAUCCCCCAACUCCAGUAGAUACACCUAUAAACAGAGGGAGGUUAAUAAGUCACAAAACAAAUAUAGAGUUCCAGAUUUGGUUUAAGUAAUAAGCAUAUUCAUGAUCAGCUUACCAAUUAUGACCUUCCGUCGUCCAGUAGGCAUGCCUGCAGUAGUAAUAUAUAGCAUCAGCAUAAUCAUAUAUGAAGAUGGGUGACCAUCAAGUCAUGGAUAAGAUGAGAGCAAACAGAACAUUGUAAAGAAAGAUGAUAUUUUAAUUGAGUAAAAUGCAGUCCAUAUGAGCCAAUAAAAUUGAUUAUAUGUCAAUGCCUACCAAUCAUAUCUGCAGAAAAUGGGAAUAAACUGUAAAAAUAUGGUGGUAUAUUGCAAAAUAUGAAACUAUGCAAUGAUAUUUAGGAGUAACAAUUAUGCAAUGAAGAUUGAAGAGUCACAAUAGUGGCUACUAAUUGAGCAAUGAAAUACCUCGCUAAUACUGAUAUAUACUGUAGAUGAUGAUUACAAGACAUAGCAGCAGUGUAUUAUAUAUGAUAUGAUGAAAAAAUGUUGUCAUUAAAAUGAGCUAGUAAAGUUGUGUGGCUAUGUACUUAUGUGGUAAUUAAUUUCUUUCUUUGAAGUGCUAAAUACAAACUCACCAUCUGGACAGAAUAACCCAUCAUAAGGCAUUACAGCGUCAGCGAAGCAAGUGCACCUAUAACCCUCUGUGGUACUAUUAUAGUAGCAGCGCCCGCCUGAAUCCUCGCAUUUCUGACAAUCAAUAGGCACAGACCAAUACAGAUCAAACCCGAAUUUGGUUGAUUGAGUGUAAUUAAAUGAAGAUGAUGACGGUGUCACCAGAGUCUCCUCACAUCUAUCGUACCAAUUUGGAAUAGAUAAAUUAUUGAAGUAAUCAUAGUCAUUAUUGAAAGCGUAAGAACGUAGUGGUGGUAGAGUAGUAGUAGUGGUGGUGGAAUUAGUGUUGUUCUUGUAGUAAUAAUCUAGACAAGGGAUACGGUUAUCAACAUAUUUAUCAUCAUCAUCACCAUAUCUGCUGCUGCUGCAAUUAUAGAAAAGGGUCCACUUUUGAUCUGAAAAGAAACCCACAUAUGGUGCGGAUUCCAGUGAGAAGUUUCGUUUUGGAUGAGGACAAUCUUGUCCAUAUACAUCCACGUCAAUCAGAUUAAUUGACUUCCCGUAGUAAUCAAUGGAUUGCACAUAGUAGAGGUGGUCGGAGAUAUUCGUGAACGCUCUUCCAUCAUAUUCAUUCAUUAAUAUGUGGACACCAAUGAAAAUCCGUAAAACUGUCCGCUUCAUUCAACACCCUCCUCUCAUCUCCCCUCAUUGACUUUUCAUUGACUCGAAAAAUUUUAAUCCAGAAAAGUCAGAUUUUUAGAAUUUAGAUGCCUACUUCAAAUGCCUAAUCUCUAAAACUGAGUAGUAGUUUAUUACAACUCUAAAUAGUCUUAUUACCACCUCUGAUUAAUCUAUAAUAAUGCCAUAAAUGGCCACUGAUAACUAACCUAUUAAAUGAACGGGUGGCAGUUGGCAUAUUAAAUUCAUACACAUGUUAUUAUCAUAUAUAUUCAUAUUUAUUUAUUACGAGUAUUUGCCACAGAGAAUUUUAUAUGUGUAGCUUACUUGUAUGUGGGUGUGUACACCCAAUCACAAAAUGCCAUGUGGCAAUAAUAAUAUAACCUAGUAUGGGUUUAGUUAACCCUAGUGGGCUUGAUCAGUUUUUCAACCAUUUUAUAGACACGUGGCAUCAUAUGAUUGGGUCUACACACCCACAUACAAGUUGGCUACACAUAUAAAAUUUUUUGGUAUUUGCCAUCAAACAUCCAACCAUACCAUAACUCAUAAGAACCCAUUUAUCAAAGCGUUACACAGUAACAAAAAGGAAAAUACUUUGAAGGAACCUACUUCCAUCUAAGAAUUGAUAAAAUCUUCUUAAGUGUUUGACAUGGUAUGGAACCUUCCUCUCAUCUCUCCUCAUUGACUUUUUCAUUGACUGGAGUACUUCAAAUGCCUAGCCCAUCUCUAAUUGAGUAAUAAGGCUAUAAAUGGCCACUGAUGAGUGACUAACCUAUUAAAUGAACGGGUGGCAGUUGGCAUAUCAAUCAAAUUCAUACACAUGUCAUUAUCAUAUAUUCAUAUUUAUUUAUUACGAGUAUUUGCCUAGCUGUUAAUCGGUACCUUUUCGGUAUAGUGUAUUACGGUACAUUUGCUUGUACACCACACAAUCUUCCACGUGGACUCAAGUGAAAACUUGAUACCGGUUAGUCUAAAGUCAACAAAAAUUUGCUCUUAUUGUUUCUUGAAUUUUGUCAUCCAUAUAGCAAUCUUGUCAUCCAUAUAGCAAUUUUGUCAUCCAUACAGCUGUCACCUGUAUGUUUGACUGAAAAACUAAAAGAAACAAUAAAAAUUGCAUAACCGGUUACCAAGUUGUCCUAAUCACAUUGUGUGGACGAAAAUGCUGCUUGCACCGUAAUGUACUGAGUUAAAAUGUAUUGAAUAAAUGGCUGUAUUUGCCAUCAAACAUCCAACCAUAUCAUAACUCAUAAGAACCCAUUUAUCAAAGCGUUACACCGUAACAAAAAUACUACUACUACUCGUAUAAUACAUAUUACUACCUAGUACCAUAGGUAGGUAGUAGUUAAAGAUCUUGAAUCUCGCACCUUUUCUCAUGAUUUAAUUUACUUACUCAUGAUUCAUGAAACGUUUGUCUGUCGUUUGUUCUAACUUCAAACAACUCAUAAUACUGUACUACUCGUAUAAUACAUACAGUAUUUCUUUUAGGUUGUUGUAGGCCUGUAAAAUGGGCCGGGUAGGGCUAGCCCGGCCCUUGAACCUUCGAGCCCUCACACUUUAAGGGUCGGGCCAACCCUACCCUAAAAGAUGAGAGGGUCGGGUUAGGGCGGGUCAACAUAAAAAUUGUGAAAACCUCACCCGACCCUUAGCCCUUUAUUUUAAAGGGUUGAGGGUCGGGCUAACGGGACCGAUUGAUAGGGUCGAUACAUAGAAUUAUGUUUUACUUGAAAAAAAAUAUGUGAUCAUGUUUUUAUUAAUAUCAUUUUAAUAUUUUUGAAAAUACAUAUAAUAUGUUUCAAUUCUUAAAUGUACAAAUAUAUUUUUUUCACCAUAAAAUUUGUUAUAGUAUAUAUAUGAUAUUAUUUUAUCCAAGAGCAUUACAAUUAAUAAAUACAAAGAACUCGUAGUUAGAUGUUAUCUUAUUACUAAAAUUUCAAACUUUAGAAAUUUAAUCCUAAAUUUAUAAAAUUCUAGCAUAAUAAGUAUAAAAUACACAUUUAAAAUAAUAAUCUAAUUAUCGUUUAUUGCACGCUCAAUAAUGAAAUAGAUGGUUAAUAAAAAAAUAAUUCUAUUGAGAAUCAAUUUCUUUUAGUUAUAUAAUAGUUUUUUAACAACUAGUUCGGAAAAUAUUCGAUAAACAUUUGAUAAAUAUAAUAUAACUUAAACAAAAGUGAUAUCUAUGUCUAAUUGAAAAAAUCUUUACGAUUAAAACUCUAAAAAAAUGUUCAAAUUUUGAUAUAUAGAGAAAUAUAUUAAAAAUUAUACAUAUAUUUAUAAGGGCCGUAAGAGGGCUUUGAGAGGGUUAAUUAGGGUCGGGCUAAGGGUAGGGUCUAAGAUUUUCAAAGCUAAACCCUAACCCGACCCUUAAAAGGAGAGGGUCGGGCCGACCCUACCCUAAAAAUCAUAAGGGUCAAGCUUUAAGGGCUUUUUUCAUUGAAUGGGUCGGGCGGGCCGGGCCGGGUUCAGGGUCAAAGGGCCAUUUUUACAGGCCUAGGUUGUUGCACUUGUUCGUACGUAUCUUUGAAUCCUAUUGUUGAUCACUUGCGCAGCACACAGCUUGAUAACACUUUUGUGCAUUGACUCAGUUGAAAGAUAUAAUAAUGUUUUAGCAGUGCAAAUUAGUUCAUGUGGUAUCCAUUUUCUUAAAAAAAUUGGUUGUAGGCACAAGCUAAGAAGCUUGCAUGAAGUCUCUAAAAGCAGGCGAAAAAUCACUUAAGGCACAUGAACAAAAGAUUUGUAGUUCAUUGUAGAACCCCAGUAUCUCUCUAGACUCUAGCUCUCAUUCAUUCUUGGUUACUUUGAUCGUGUGUGUUCUGUGAUUGUUUUAAACCUCUGGAUCUUCAUAUACAGCUAACAAAGUCUACUGUUUGUAUUUGGCUUGAACCAGGUUUUGCAGCGGCCCAGAGAUCGACCAGAGUGCGGUUUGCUGUUUGAAAUGCUUGAACAAGAAUUCUGAAGCAAAAAGCUCGACCAAUUAUAUUAAAUAUGUAUAGUACUAGUGGAAAAGUGCAUGAGUUCGUUCUCUCUUAAAAUAGCAGAAUAUGUCAAGUAUCUUGAUUUAAUCUUCUACAUUAAGGAAAAAAUUUAAUGCACCAAAAACACUAAAAGGGUGUCUUUUCUGAGCUUCACACAAAUUACAUAAUUUGCUUACCAAAAAAACUCUAUUCAGGCUCAUAGUUUAUUUAUGAAAUCAAUGUCGUUAUUUUUGUUAUAUGUGAUUUUGUUGCAGAGUCGGAGGCUAUUAUAUAUACAUGGCGUUCUAAAAGCACCCUAUUUACAUUGUAAUAGCAUUAAGUCCCAGAUUGCAGUGCACAUCUGUACAUCUAAUUUUCUCAACUAUGAAAUCCAACUGCAUACAACCUCAGCUCUAUCUAUAUCUCCUUGGCAAAUUUGCCAAGGAGUUAAAAGAGUUUUAGAGGUGCCACAUAAGAUUGUUUAAUAAUUAAAAAUUAUAUUGCAUUAAAUGAUUGUCACAUUUGUGUUAUUUUUAUCUUUCAUUCAAAAACAACCAUUGGCAACUCUAAAAGUAAAAAACACUUUUAGCAUAGUUUAAUCUUAAAACCUUUACCCUCUCUCCUACGUGGCACCUCUAAAACCAUUUUACCAUUGGGAAUGCUCUUACACAGUAACAAAAAGAAAAAUACUUUGAAGGAACCUACUUCCAUCCAAGAAUUGAUAGAACCUUCUUAAGUGUUUGACAUGUGUCCAUGCAUUGAAUAAGUUUUUGGGGAUAGAAAACACACAUUAAAUGAGUUGUUUUUCAACUACUUCAAUUUAAUAAAUAAAUUCUUAAAUAAAUCUGUGAAACCCAAUGGUCUUUUUCUUUUCAAAAUGCUUAUUUAUAAUUUUUUUUUCUCUAAAACCAUAUAUUUUCUUUUGAAAAUUUUGUACUCCUCUUUCAUCUUAAACUCCUAUUUUUUAAUUUUGAUUUUCAGGUUUUAAGGAAUCAAAAUGAAUGAAAUACUUUAACGUGAUAAAAAAAAAAAAAAAAAAAACUAAAGAAUUGAGAAAUUAAAAAUAGUUUAAUGAGUUAUUUAUCUAUUAAGUAUAUUUUAUUUUUUAUUUUUAUAAUUUGAAAAUUUAAGAAGUUAAAUUUUGAGUGUUGGAUUAUUUGUUCAAAGGAUUUACUAGUAUUUUUGUUUUUACUGGAUCAUUAAUUUUGAAAAUUUGAUUGAUCGAGGAAAGUGUAUUAAUUUAAAAAUAAAAUUAAAGGAUUUCUUUUAUCUUAAAUCUGUGGGUCCUACAUCAGUUAUUUAAUAUCUGGUCAUGUAUUAAUUAUUAAAAAGUUCAAUAGAAAAAACUACGUGGUGAAAAAAGGGGUUCUAUCAAAUCGUUGAUGGAGGUGGGUUCCUUCAAAGUAAUGCUCAAAAAAAUACUUUGAAGGAACUACUUCCAUCUAAGAAUAAUACUACUGCUCGUAUAAUACAUAUUACUACCUAGUACCAUAGGCAGUAGAUAAAAGAUCUUGAAUCUCGCACCUUUUUUCAUGAUUUACUUACUCACUAAGUGAAUGCACGUCUGUUAGACGUAUUAUAUUCAGUUUCCUUGUUUUUUGGUAAAAGCAAUGUUAUUUUCCUGGUUUGUAGGUAACUACUUAAUAAAGUUUAAUUAUUUAUAUUAAAAUUACAUAAUAACCCUUUAUAUCAUAGAGGAUAUAAAGGGUAUCCUAUAGAGGUAUCCUGCUCUAUUCAAUAUUUCAAACAACAAAUUUGGGACUGUAAGUAGCAUGUCUUCCCAUGGCUCAUCUAUGGGAGCCUAGAAUUUGGAUUUCAGAAGAAGACUUUAUGAUUGGGAGCUUCCGGAAUGGGAAAGUCUGCAGAACCUGUUGAAUGUUGUUGUGCUUGAUGAAGAUGAUGACUCAUGGCUUUGGAAAGGGUCCAGAGAUGGUCGUUUUUCAGUCAAGGCUUUUUAUGAUCAUGUGGUGACUAUGGAAAGAGGGCUUGAUAUUGAUAUCAUUCCUUUCCCCUCAAGGUUAGUGUGGGGAGUUAAAAUGCCGUCAAAAUGCAAGAUGCUCUUUUGGUGCACAUUGUCGGAAAGCAUUUUAACAAGAGACAUUCUGAUUCGUAGAGGUACAAUGGUGGAUCCCUUUUGCUCUGGGUGUAGGCUUAUGGAGGAGUCGAUCUGUCAUGUUUUCUUGCAUUGCCCCAUUGCUUUGCAGCUCUAGCAUGAAUUGUUGACUCCUAGAAUCCACUGUUAUACCUUAAUCAUGACUGCUGAUUCUGUGGAGGAGCUCCUUAUAGCUUGGCCAUAGAGUUUGGGUCUACAUUUAGAGAAAAGAGUAUGGUCUCUACUACCCUAUGUUGUGAUGUGGGUGUUGUGGAAGACGCGCAAUGAACAUAUCUUCAGGUCAAGGAUGGUGUCGAUGGAACGUAUGGUGGUGGAGGUCAAGGCCACGCUUUGGUAUUGGGUUGGGUGUUGGCCAGAGCGUCGCUUCUAUGUCUUUCAAGAUCUGCUCCUACGCUGGUUCAAAUUGCUUAACAAAUUGCUUGUUAAGAAUGGGUCGAAUGAGAUGCAGUGAGUUAUCGCAUUGCAUGUGGGUUUCCUAUUCUGUUCUUUUCGGACUUUACCUGACGAUGCCUUUGGCAUGCUGAUCAGGCUGUAAUUCUUUUAUCUCUUUCUAAUAAAUUCUACUUAUCAAAAAAAUAAAAAAUCAUAGAAGAUAUAUUUGAUUUUAGUGAAAGAGAAAUAGACUUUUUUGGUAAAAGUUUGACAUCAGGAAAAAAAAAAAAAAAUUCUGUUGUUCUAACUUCAAAGUUCAAACAACUCUAUUGUUCUUGUUCUCUUUCUCUACCCCACCAAAUAAGUACAAAAGUAAAAAAAAAACUACCCAUCUCUACUUUUUUCUCAUUCAGUACUUUCGUCAAACACUUUGAUCACUUCGAUCACUUCGAUCAAAUCUGCAAUUAAACCGAUACACCCCACUUUCCAUUAAACGAAACAAGAUCAAAUUGCAAAUUUUACUCUCUUUGAGGAAUUUCUUUAAACACUUUAAGAAUGGCUUGUCAAGCAAUUCAUGAGAUACACUCAUGGACAUUUUCUGC
Molecule: long non-coding RNA, 45473 nt
Filed under: Aquilegia coerulea
Lineage: Eukaryota; Viridiplantae; Streptophyta; Magnoliopsida; Ranunculales; Ranunculaceae
Description: long non-coding RNA (ACOE_LNC001635)
Source: RNAcentral